Molecule: long non-coding RNA, 67422 nt
Filed under: Triticum aestivum (bread wheat)
Lineage: Eukaryota; Viridiplantae; Streptophyta; Magnoliopsida; Poales; Poaceae
Description: long non-coding RNA (TAES_LNC018848)
Source: RNAcentral
AGCACUUUGCAGACAAGCAAAUGCCAAUUGUGAAAGAGAUCAUGCCAUGGCAGCUAUAAAUAGGCAUGUAGCAUGAUGACCAUCCUUCCUCAUUCAUCAUUCUCAUAAGUAGAGUGCAUCAUUCAAGCCAAGCAAGAACUGGUCAAUACAAAUACACCAUGAAGACUUUUCUCAUCCUUGCCCUCCUUGCUAUUGUGGCGACCACUGCCACAACUGCAGUUAGAGUUCCAGUGCCACAAUUGCAGCCGCAAAAUCCAUCUCAGCAACAACCACAAGAGCAAGUUCCAUUGGUGCAACAACAACAAUUUCCAGGGCAGCAACAACCAUUUCCACCACAACAGCCAUAUCCGCAGCCGCAACCAUUUCCAUCACAACAACCAUAUCCGCAGCCGCAACCAUUUCCGUCACAACUACCAUAUCCGCAGCCGCAACCAUUUCCACCACAACAACCCUAUCCACAACCGCAACCACAAUAUCCGCAACCACAACAACCAAUUUCGCAGCAACAAGCACAACAACAACAACAACAACAACAACAACAAAUCCUUCAACAAAUUUGCAACAACAACUGAUUCCAUGCAGGGAUGUCGUCUUGCAACAACACAACAUAGUGCAUGCAAGCUCACAAGUAUUGCAACAAAGUAGUUACCAACUGUUGCAACAAUUAUGUUGUCAGCAGCUGUGGCAGAUCCCCGAGCAGUCGCGGUGCCAAGCCAUCCACAAUGUCGUUCAUGCUAUUAUUCUGCAUCAACAACAACAACAACAACAACAACAACAACAACAACCAUCGAGCCAGGUUUCCUACCAGCAGCCUCAGCAACAAUAUCUAUCAGGCCAGGGCUCCUUCGAGCCAUCUCAGCAAAACCCACAGGCCCAGGGCUCUGUCCAGCCUCAACAACUGCCCCAGUUCGAGGAAAUAAGGAACCUAGCGCUACAGACGCUACCAGCAACCUGCAAUGUCUACAUCCCUCCAUAUUGCUCGACCACCAUUGCGCCAUUUGGCAUCUUCGGUACUAACUGAGAAGAGAAGAACUCUAGUACUAGAUAUAUCAAACAUCGUGUUCUUAGUCCAUGGUUUGGUCGUUGUACUGGUGAAAAUAUAAAGUGACAUGCACUACCAUGUAAGAACCCGAACUAUACUAGUUCAAACUUGGGAAUAAAAGACAAAGCCAGGUCUUGUCUGCAUAUGAUUAUUUGUUUGAGUUCCAUUCAUGUGCCCGUUCACAAGUUCACCCCUAAUUAUAUAUAUUACGCAUUAAGUAGAUAUCUAUGUUGCAUUAAUUUGAAGAUAACAAAAUGAGUCUAAAACUUGAAUUAAAUUGAAUUGUUUUCUUGGACUUUCAAAUUGUGUAUUAUUAAAGUAGUAACGACUAUCCACAUCCUUGGCUUGCCCUUGAUCAAUUAUUUCCAGAGAAGCAUUCAAUUCAUCAAUCAAUUACAUUGAUUUUUGAGACUGGUACAUCUCCUCAUCAUGAGUAUCAUUGCGGCUACUCCAAAUCGCCCACAUAACCGAAGCAUUAAUAGCGCUCUUCUUGCAUCAGGAAAUAUGGAUUGAAGAUAUCAGGUGACCAUGUUUCCGGGUGCAACCUUGGGAGUUUUAUGUCAAAAUAUUCUCAAGAAGAAUCCAAGAAUAAACUUGCAUGCUCACGUGUGAUAAGGGCAUAUGAAGUAACAUUUCCUCCCCAUGGCCACAUAGGGCACACACAUAACCCCAUCACAUGCAUUUUUAGUUAUGCAUAUGAAAGGUAGGAUGUUUUUAAUUACUCUCCACCAAAAUACUCUUAACUUGGCUUGUACCCUAAGAGUUUGUUGCCUUUUCAUUUCUUCUUCCCCAUUAGACAAACUAGACAGUCCAUCCACCACACCAUUCCUUGUGUCCAUCAUGGCUCUGUACAACAAUUGGACAGAACAAAUGUCAUUUCUUUAUGAUACCCACGACCAAAUGUCCUCUGCUGGAUUGUUUGGUCGUGGCAUAUUAAGGAUGGCCACCUCAUCUGAUGGGAUAAACACCUAAUGAAUGAAAGGAUUGUUCCAGUCGCCCGUGUUUUUCAUCGAUAAGAUCAGCUACAAGUUGGACCGGAGUUUCUCACAUGCAUCGUAGUGGUUUCAUUAGCGGCAUGCCCUGCACCCAUUUAUCAUGCCAUAUCUCUGUAGUAUGUGCAUUCCCAAUUUGUCACAACAUACCCUCCUUCAAACCUUCUUGACCUUUCAGAAUUGCACGCCAAGUUAGCGAUGCACUAUGCAGGAACCCGCAUUUCAAAAAAAAAAGAAUCUCAUUUCAUGGUAUCUUCCAUAAAGGACCCUCAUACAUGAGCUAUCUAGAUAGAAACAGCCAUGUAUGUUUAGCAAACUUUGCAUAAGUGAAUAGAUCAAGGUUGUGGAACCCCAAGCCUCCAAUUACACCCGGCCUCUCUACCAACAAGAUGUCUAAAGACAUGAAGGAUACACACAGCCAAAAAAGAAAAUAAAAAGAACAAAAUAAAAAAUACCCCACCAUGGUGGUCAAUCACAAGCAUCAACAACACUCUAACCACCACCGAAGACAAUGCCCGGAUUACAAAAAGGUUAUUCAAAAGCAACACCCACAAGAAGGAAACAAUGCACAAGCGUUGUCGUUGCCCGAUAGAAGAUCGUGGGUUUUCACCCUGGAAAAAUUUUGAGUUCACCCAAAAACAAUGCCUUCAACAAGGCCAUUGCCAAGUACAGCCAAUAAGGGGUAGACCUUGGGUUUUCAACCUAGGAACUGAGACUCGAUAGUCGACAAGUACCACCGAAAAUGCAGUCCACCGGUGUUGCCGCCCCCGCUUGCCGAGGCCGCUGUUGCAAGUCACCAAACAUACAGUUGUCAUCGCAUCCAAUACAUCCUUCCGCCGAAGCUUCAAGACCUCAAAUGGCAGCCGCCGUGACUUUCUCCACAUCUAUCAAUGCCUUGAGGAUCUUGACUUAGACAUGUCCCGUGACAUAAAUAAGAAACCGAAGCUUCGCACCGCGUCCUCUUGAGGCCGUGUUGGCUGAUAAUAUUAGCGCGUAUGACGGGAGCCUUUCCAACCUAGAUAUCCAGGGGCGACAUACACCAAUCAAUAUAGAUCUCCGCUCGGAAAGACCGGAACUCAUCAACGGCCAGAUCCAAGUGGUCGACAUCCGGCAAAAAGACGACUUGGCGGAAGAAGAGCAUCAGGGCCAAACCACCAUUAUUAGUCCGAAGCUAAUAGCCCCCACGCCGCCCUCCUCUCGAUCCAGACCUGCAGAAAAAGAUCAACGACGCCGCAUCGUGCCACUUGCAUCCGUGGAGGCUUGAACUUGGCAAGAUGCCAACCAUGGCUGGAGACGGGGACCAGCCACUCCUGGCUGGAUCCGGUGACUCCUAGUCCUACCGCUGCCGCUACGGCGGCACCGCGUGUGGCCUACAAGCCCAUCCACGAUGAUGUCUGAUUAGAAGGAUACAUGGAUAUACAGAUGAAAAGGCCCUUGUUAUCCCUCCAACAAUAUAUAUAUAGCUUAUUGGGACGUGAGAAAGCUCGCACAAUUUUAUAGUGGCUAUGGAAAUGUGUUGCCAGACAGAGAUAUAAGAUUUUUGUUUGGCAUCCAGACCGUUUGUGUCAUGCUUAAUCGAUGGUCACUCUAAUUUUUCCGGCGGGCCUUCCCCGUGGUACUGCAGCCUUAUAUGUGUAUGGGUUUCAUACAGCUAUUCUGUCCUGUCUAGAAAAGGAGAAAACCAAAAUUACUUGGAGUUAAUAACUAAUACGUUUCCUUUAACUACCAUGUGCACGGCGAGGAUUUACGUGCAUGAUGUUUUUUCCUCUCCCCACGUCAUAUUGGGCCGGCCCAUUCACGCGCAUAUGGUUAGAAAAAGAGAUGAGGAAAGGGAGAACCAGGAUUGAUUCCUAGUCUCAAGGUGACCGUGGGUGCUGCUACCAGUCCGCCCAAGUCCCGUUCGUGAUAAGUUGUAGGUGCGCGUGGUACUUCAAGCGAUUCAAGCCGGUUUUAUUUGAGUUUUUUUUCUCUUUUUUUUCUUCUUCAUUUUUUUCAUUCUUUUUUACACUCCGUUUCUUCGAUUUGUCAUUCUUUUUUUCUUUUGUUUAUUUCCUUUUUUUCGGUUUUCUUUGUUCUAUUGGUUAUCAUUGUACAUUUUUUGUAUAUGUCAACAACAUUUUUCUCUAAUACACGUCUAACAUUUUUCAAAUACAAACCAACCAUUUUUGUAAUACAUUGUCAACAUUUUUUCUAUACACAUUUUUUAAAUGCUUGAUUAUCAUUUUUCAAAUACAAGAUUAACAUUUUCUCAAUACAUGGUCACCAUUCUUUUUCUAUUUUCACAAAAAACUUAAAUGCUUGAUUAACAUUUUCUUAAUACAUGGUCAACUUUUUCUCUAUACACAUUUAACAUUUUCCAAACGCUUGAUUAACAUUUUCGAACCCUUGUUCAACAUUUCUUUUAAAUGCCUGAUUAACAUUUCUGUAUACAUGAUCAAACAUUUUUAUCAUUUUAAUACAUGGUCAACAUUAUUACCAUACACAUUUAACAAUUUCCAAUUCUUGAUUAAUAAUUUUUAAAUACUUGUUCAACAUUUUUUUCAAAUGCAUAAUGAUGACAUUGUUCAAAAGUGGCAUCACAAGUUUCAGGGAGUAGAAAAUAGAUUAAUCAAUGAAACCGCGCGAACUUUGUGAUGCUAUUGUGUUAUAUCAACUACUUUCUCCGUCUCAUAAUAUAAGAGUGUUUUUCACAUUAGUAUAUAGUGGAAAAACGCUCUUAUAUUAUGGGACGAAGGGAGUAUGUGUUUGUUAUGUCAUACUGAGCACCAAAUUCACUAUAUAUAUAUCUAUACCAAUAUAAAAAGACCUAAAGGGGCAGAUCCAAAUAAUCUUGGCCAUUAAAUCAUGUCAAUCCAAUGACAUAGACUGCUUCACUGUCGAGCACUUAAUACGUUUAGCAUGCAGUUAAUUGCAUGCCAAAUAUAGUGCUAAUCACAUAAUAACAUGCAAAUAAUAUCCUACUUAAUAUCCGAAUGCACUUAAUAUACUUCCAAAUUAACGCGCAUUACACAUACACAUUAACUAAUCACAUAAUCAAAGAAAUUAACACACAAAUAAUAGCAUACCUAAUAUCCACGUGUAAAUAAUAAAACAAUAUAAUGCUUAAAUAUUAACCUGUGUUGCACGUGCACAUUUAGUAGAACAUGGGAAUACAGUAACAGUAAGCUCACUAGACGGAAGCCCGUCACGGCCAUGUGAAUAGGAUCCUCCUCGUACUGCUCCUCUCCUGCCCUGCCCUGAGCAGUAUCAUCCGUCGUCGUCGCCGGGCGGCGCAGCAGCCGGCGGCCGAGGGGAGACCGAGAUUUCCUCUUUGGAGGCGCCGAAUGCGGCUCGUAAGUCCAAAUCCCUCCCAGUCCCGCCUCUCGAAUCCCCACCGGUCUCCUACUUCCAUGCCGCCAAUGCCCGCCUUUUCUUUGGACUCCGAGCGAGGAAUCGGAGGGAAAGCUGUGUGCUUCUUGCAGCUUCAUGCCCCGGCAAUGGCGGCCCUGCUUGCUUUCUGUUGCCGCUGGGUCGCUCUACUCUCUGCGUGCCCGUCCGCAAGGUGUUCGAUGGAUUGUGCGCAGGGUGUCGGCCCGGCUGGUCCCCUGGUCUCGUUCCAGUUCUCCCAGGUUUCAGUCUGCUUACUGUCAGUUGCUGAAAAUGUGCACGAAACGGAUGAAAAUGCUGGGAUAUGCGCUCUUUGUUUACCGUUUACCGUCAUUUGUUUGGUUGCAGGAAGCACCCGGCCUUAAGCAUAGUACUACAUAUAAAGUUGUAUGUUCUGUUCUGUUUGUUUGUUUGCUGUCUGAUGAUUGAGACAAGGGCAUAAUCUAAAGUUUGGCACCUGCACUUGCACCUGCUCCUGCACAUUUAUGUGCUGGAAACUGGAAUCUGUUCAGAGUAGUAUGGCCACGCCACAGGUUUUAGCUUUCACUCAUGGACCACAUUGCUUCUUGACUAUCUUGGAUGCUUGUUGGCCCAUCCUUGUAAUUCUAUAUCUUUCUAGUAGUCUUAUAAAUCAGAAACAUAACAACUUUUUGUGUUGCUUACUAUAUUUUGUGUAUUUACUUAGCGUGUUUAGUCAAAUCAUCUGUCAUUGUUCUCUCAAGUUGUUUUUCCUUGCGAUAUUCAACCCAGCGGUUUAAAAUUCCUGCAAUUGAUUCAUUCAAAGUGAUUUUUCCUUCUUUGUUGUUGUUUUCUUUUAAAUGUUUGGGCUGAGGCUCCAAAUGUUGCUACUCUUUUACAUGGACUAUGUUACUUUGGAGAAUACAAGAAUUAUGCAUUGGUACCACGAUAACAUAUGCCUAAUGGUUUUUCUUACAGGAUGGGGUUUCCAACACAUAAAUAGUUUGCUAGCAUGCAGACAAGUGUCCAGUAGCCUUUGCGCCAUUUGAGGCGUAAUGGAGAUAGUUUUUCUCAUGUUGUUGGUUCUUUCUCUGCUCCUUUUCCCUAAUGGCAUCUGCAAGAGUUUAGCCACAGGGCCUCCUGUUGUGAAUAUUGGGUCUAUUCUUCAAUUUGACUCCACCACCGGAGGUGUUGCGGCAGUUGCCAUCCAUACAGCCUUGGAAGAUAUCAACUCCGAUCCAACAGUUCUAAAUGGAACUACACUAAAGGUUCAAAUGAAGGAUACAAAUUGCUUUGAUGGUUUCCUUGGCAUGGUUCAAGGUAGGCUAGCUUUAAUGUCACUCAUUCAUUUCGCAACCUUCAAAUAAUUUUUUACUUCUGUUGUGGAGUUGUGGCAAUGAUGCCGUGUUCCUUGUAUCAGCUUUGCAGUUCAUGGAGACUGAUGUUAUUGCACUCAUUGGCCCUCAGUGCUCUACUAUUUCUCAUAUGAUUUCAUAUGUAGCAAAUGAGCUUCAAGUCCCUUUAAUGUCCUUUGCUUCUGAUGCAACUCUUUCAUCGAUACAGUUCCCGUUCUUUGUCAGGACGGGUCCCAGUGAUCUCUAUCAAAUGGCGGCUGUGGCAGAAGUUGUUGACUACAACCACUGGAAGAUAGUGACUGCCAUAUACAUUGAUAAUGUUUAUGGUAGAAAUGGCAUUGCUGCUUUGGAUGAUGCACUCACUUUAAAGCGCUGCAAAAUAUCCUACAAGGUUGGGUUUCCUUCCAACGCUAAAAGGAGUGACCUCAUAAAUUUGUUGGUUAGUGUCAGUUAUAUGGAGCCUCGUGUUAUUGUUCUCCAUACUGGAGCUGAACCUGGACUCAAGCUUUUCUCUGUGGCAAACCAACUGAACAUGAUGGGCAACGGCUAUGUGUGGAUUGCAACUGACUGGCUGUCUGCAUAUCUUGAUGCUAAUUCAUCAGUUCCUGCUGAGACUAUAUCUGGCCUGCAAGGUGUUCUUACUUUACGGCCACAUAUUCCCAACUCAAAGAUGAAGAGUAAUUUGGUCUCCAAAUGGGGCACGCAAAGUAAAAAGUACAACUACAGUGAUCUUCGUGUAAAUACGUAUGGUUUUUAUGUUUAUGAUAGUGUCUGGGCAGUAGCUCGGGCUCUGGAUGCCUUCUUUGAUGAUGGUGGUAGGAUUUCCUUUUCAAAUGACUUGCAUGAUGGAAUUGGAGGAACUCUUCACCUUGAAGCAAUGAGCAUUUUUGACAUGGGAAGCAAAUUACUGGAGAAGAUUAGAAAGGUAAACUUCAGUGGGAUAUCUGGGCAAGUGCAAUUCGAUGCUGUAGGCAACCUCAUUCACCCUGCGUAUGACAUCAUAAAUGUCAUCGGAAAUGGCAUGCGGACCAUUGGUUUUUGGUCAAACUAUUCUGGCUUGUUGUCGACUGUCUCUCCAGAGGCUCUAUAUUCAAAGCCUCCUAAUAUUUCUCUCGCCGAUCAGCAUCUCUAUGAUGUUAUUUGGCCUGGGGAAACUGCACAGAGGCCUCGAGGAUGGGUCUUUCCUUCUAAUGCCAAGCAGUUGAAAAUUGGUGUUCCCAACAGAUUUAGCUUCAAAGAGAUCGUCACGGUAGACAAUGCUACUGGGUCAAUGAAGGGUUAUUGCAUCGAUGUCUUUACUCAGGCAUUGGCUUUGCUUCCUUAUCCUGUUAGUUACAAGUUUGUACCUUUUGGGAAUGGUACUGAAAAUCCUAAUUAUGACAAACUCGUACAGAUGAUUGAAUCAAAUGUAAGUAUGGAAUGCCUCUUUUCUUCCUCUAACCAUUUCAUCAUAUACCAUGCUGACCAGGGUCAUCUUAUCCUGCAGGAGUUUGAUGCAGCUAUAGGGGAUAUUGCAAUUACAAUGAGGCGGACAGUAACUUUUGAUUUCACCCAGCCAUUCAUUGAAACAGGCUUGGUUAUCUUGGCUCCGGUUAAAGAGCAUAUAACAUCGUCCUGGGCAUUCUUGCAGCCAUUUAGUUUGGAGAUGUGGUGUGUUACAGGGCUGUUCUUUCUUAUUGUGGGUGUGGUUAUUUGGGUUCUUGAACAUCGGAUCAAUGACGAUUUCCGUGGUUCAGUAUGUCAACAAAUAAUAACUAUUUUCUCGUAAGGAGCUGGCAUUUACCUUUUGUAUCGUCUUCUUGUAUAUCAUUCCUGUUUUCGAAGUGUUGAUGUUUUAACAAGUCUUGUGCAAUAUGUUGCAUACAGCGAGCACCUUAGAGCAUUGGCCAGUUAACAUACCUAAAUGAAGCAUCUAGUGAUUACCAAUGAACUACUCCCUCUGUCCCAUAAUAUAAGAGUGUUUUUGACGGCGGGAGUAUUAUCUUAAUAAUCUUGUGAGACAUAUAUACAUGCACAGUAUAUAUAUUCGCUUAAUGAUAUUUAUGUUCAUUGCUCUAUUUUUUCCUGUUUUCACGUACUUCUCCACAUGUAUUUGCCAAAUGCUCUUAUCAUGACGUGAUUCCUUACUGUGAGUAUAAUUUCAAAUUUUAUUGCCUGCAGGUUCAGCUUUUCAACUUUGUUCUUCGCACACAGUGAGUAAACCAACCUUUUCUCUUAUGUGUUUUUUUGGCUAUAACAUUUUGUUCUGAGGCAUGACUCGUGAUUUCAUCCAUGUCUGCUCGCAGGAGAAAAUACUAUGAGUGCCUUAGGGCGUGGUGUCCUGAUCAUAUGGCUGUUUGUUGUUUUGAUAAUUGUAUCCAGCUAUACCGCGAGUCUUACUUCCAUCCUGACCGUGCAACAACUUGAUACUUCUAUAAAAGGAAUUGAUGACCUGAAAAAUAGCAAUGAUCCUAUUGGUUUCCAAGUUGGUUCUUUUGCACAAGACUAUAUGGUCAAGGAGCUCAACAUCUCACGGUCAAGGCUAAGAGCUCUUGGUUCACCACAAGAAUACGCGGAAGCCCUCAAGAUAGGCCCUAAGGAAGGAGGUGUUAUGGCCAUUGUUGACGAGCGCCCCUAUGUUGAACUGUUUUUGUCAACCUACUGCAAGAUUGCGGUAGCUGGCACAGAUUUCACCAGCAGAGGAUGGGGCUUUGUAAGUACAGUUCAACCAUAUACUUUUAUAUAAACUACUCCCUCCGUUCCUAAAUAUAAGUCUUUGUAGAGAUUCCACUAUGGACCACAUACGGAUGUGCAUAGAUGCAUUUUAGAUUGGAGAUUCACUCAUUUUGCUCCGUAUGUAGUCCAUAGUGGAAUCUUCCCAAAGACUUAUAUUUAGGAACGUAGGGAGUAGAAUAUAAGAACAAAAUAUUAUGCUGUUAAUGUCCUGGAAUAGAGGUUUUAACUUUGAAUAGUUGUGUCUAGUCUCUAGUUUAUUAUGCAACUUUUCUUGCACUUAUCUGCGGCUACUUUGUUUCGCAAAUCGAAAUGUAGCACCUUACAAAUUAAUUCUGCCAGGCAUUUCCAAGGGACUCCCCUUUGCAAGUAGACCUCUCCACCGCAAUCCUGUCUCUGUCAGAGAAUGGGGAGCUGCAGCGGAUCCAUUCCAAAUGGCUCAAUACAGGGGAGUGCACAACUGACAACAGCGAGUUUGUCGACUCGAACCAGCUCCGCCUUGAGAGCUUCCUUGGUCUGUUCCUAAUCUGUGGUGUGGCAUGUGUUCUCGCGCUGCUACUCUACUUUGGUAUCAUGCUAUGCAAAUACCUGAGGCAUGAACCGCGGAAGAGCCUCAGAAGAUUCAUCUCGUUCGUCCAUGGGAAGGAGCCGCCGAAGAACAUGGAGAGGCGAUCCAUGAGCCUGCCUGGAAGCUCGACGCCAACAACGCCGAUGGGCAGCUUUAGUUCCCUUGACAUGGAAAGGCCGGCCAGGCCAGUCAGAAACGGCAGCGUUAUUGAUAUGGAAAGCUAGUUCAUGUGUAGAAAGCUACGCGGUCGACUAACAUAGGUUCUGGUAGUCGGACAGCAGGGGUGUAUAGGGGGAUUCAAAAUACUUCUUAAGUACUCCCUCCGAUCCAAAUUAUUCCAAAGUUUAGGAAAUAAGAGAAGGAAGGAUUAAUAAGAAAUAAAAAUAUUGAAAUGCUCCUCCUGUCCUACAUAUAUUGUUUUUACCUUUUCAUGACUGUAUUUUGGGGGGAGUGUGGAUUUUCUAUCAUGCACGGGACCUCCCGUGCAUGCAUCCAUCACAUUUUUUAUUGCUGUGUGGGGCCCCUAUUUUCUCUCACCUAACAUACAUUCACAUGUUAAUUUGUACUGACUAGGUUUCAUUCACUAGUGCAGAACAGGCCUUUAUCACUGGUUCAUAAGGGCCUUUAGUGCCGGUUCUGUAACCGGCACUAUGGAGUGGAGACUAAAGGCCCCCCUUUAGUACCGGUUCGGCACGAAUCGGCGCUAAAGUGCCACCACGUGGCACGAGCCAGUCCCGGGUGCUGGUAGACCAUUAGUACCGGUUGAUAACACCAACCGGUACUAAAUGUUUGGGGGGGUUUUGGUUUUAAUUUUUAAUUUUUCAUUAACUUUGGGUUUUCCAUUUAAUUCUUUUUUGUUUGCUGGUAUUUUACGAUACUACAUAUUGUACACGUUAUGCAUAUAUAUAUAAAUAGAUUUUCUCGUAGAACUGAUCAUAUAUAUAAUCGAAUGUCUCACAACCACCAUUAAUUAUUCACACAUACACNNNNNNNNNNNNNNNNNNNNNNNNNNNNNNNNNNNNNNNNNNNNNNNNNNNNNNNNNNNNNNNNNNNNNNUUUGCUGGUAUUUUACGAUACUACAUAUUGUACACGUUAUGUAUAUAUAUAUAAAUAGAUUUUCUCGUAGAACCAAUCAUAUAUAUAUAUAAUCGAAUGUCUCACAACCACCAUUAAUUAUUCACACAUACACAUGUAUAUAUAUAUAUAUAUAUAUAUAUAUAUAUAUAUAUAUAUAUAUAUAUAUAAUUUCUCCUCCAUGUUGCCUUGGUGCCUUCGGAGCACGAUGACAAGUGGUUCAUGGAGACGGUAGCGGGUAAUAGUAUUUUCCUUUGGGAUCUAUGACCUGCUCGAGCAAAAAUCUCGUUAUUUCCUCUUGAAGUGCUCGUAUGCGCUCUGUUGGUAGGAGCUGGUCCCGCAUGUCUUUGAACCGUUAAGAAGGAGAUCAAUAUGCAUGUGUAUUAGUUGUGUGACUAGAUAUCGAUAAUCAUGUAAGAUUUGUGAAUAGUGUUCUGGCAAACGUACCCAUUGUUGUCUAUCAUAUCUGCUCCUUUCGGACGCCAUUAUGCGAAUGUUCUUGAAAACGUAGUAUGCACACACUUCAGUCCCCGGCGCCUGCUUCAGGGCCUUUACGAGAAUAGAAUUUAAUCAGAUAAUAAUUAAUCAAGUGUGUUAAUUAAUUAAUGGUAUUGAAACAAGAAUUAAAGAGAUGGUAGCUAGCUAGCUAGUACUACUUAAUUACUUGCCUUGGGUCGAUACCAAAAUAGCUUUUGUCGCCAUUUUCCUGAAGUCACCUUGAUGUACUUUACCCAAGCCCUUCCCGUCGGCAAAGAAAAUUGAUAAAGGGGUUAUUAAAAAUAGUUCAUAUCAGGAAAUGAUAAACUAAAUAGGCCAAGAUAUAGUUAAUAAUGAUUGAAAUUACCUGUUGACUAUCCCUUCAUUAUGCUGUAGUCACUAUCUUUUUUAAGUAGUGAGUCCAGUACUUCAACUUUUCCUUCGUCAACUUUAAUGUCUAACAAGAUCCAGUGGUACCUGCAUACGCAUAAGUUUGCAUGUAUAAAUUAAGCGGGCAUGUGCAUAACACUAAUCAACUAUAACCCUAAACCCUUUACACUUAUUAACAUCUAGCUAGUAAGCAAAAACAGAAUUUGUAGUACAAGACAGUGUGACUCACUCGAAGUUGUAAGGAAGUAGUACAUCUUCAUUGCUAUUGAGGUGCUUCAAGAACUCUAGCAUGUUUUUCUCUACAUCUUGUCUACACCAUUCCAAUUUCCAUGUGUAUUCAUUAACAGUAUUUGGGUCAAUGAACCCAAUGCCAUAGCGUCUAGCUUUUUUCAUUUCAUACAUCUUCAUCCUGCAUAAUACCACAGAAAAGAAUAUAUAGUGAGGAUAUUUAAUUACAGGUAAUUAAUGAUCAAUCAAUGAGCACUAGAGCUAGCUUGAGACUUAAAUUACAGAAAGAAAUCACUUACAGACAAUAGCAACUGACGAUAGAUUUGUCGAGUGCAUCUUGAUUGAAUAACUGAAAUAGUUCUGAAUACUCAACAGUUAGAGCUUUCUUAUUGAAGUAAUGAUCUUCCUUGACUUGCACCAUGAGGGACUCUCAAUUGGAAAUCUUGAUAAUUUUCAUGUACCAAUCAUGCAAUUCAUACAUUCUCGUUGGGAGGUUCUUGACCUCCUCGGGCUCGACCAAAGGUUGGCCCCGGACAUAUUUCCGUUUUAUUUUCUCCUCUCUAAGCAGAGACAUGGGCUCGAUAUCGAGGAGUUGUCCAAUAGUGAUCUUGAGCAUUUCAGCCUGCAUUAUAUGAUCCUCGGUUAUUACCACACCACCCACCUCGGGAACGUAAAUGGUUGCGCCGCCUGUUCUCCCAGCUGGGGAACGGUUUUCCCGUAUUUUUUGACAGCUGCUUGUUGGCUCGAGCUCGAGCUCGCUUCUUUCCGUAGUCGUGCUCGAUGUGCCUUUCUGAUUUGGCGCUCAUAGUCUGAGUCAACAGGCUUGGGAGCUGGUGGCCUAGCCAUACGAAUGAAGUGGUCAAUAUUUUUCCUCAGGCACUUUCUCCCUCGGCGGCGUUGCCGGUUUCGGUCCAAAAUGGGCGUCCACUUGGGCCUUCACUAUGGCUGCAUUUUGCUCCUCGGUCAUGUUGUAAGGCCUCUGAGGAAGAGGAGCGAGGCUGCUUGGACCAUAUUUAUAUCGCUUGUCUCCGCCUGUACUUCCUGUACUACCUUGACUCGUACCACUACGCACCAUAGCUGCGGCGUGUCUCUUCUGCGAUUGCUGAGGCGGCGGAGACGGCUGACGUUGCUGAGUUGGAGCAGGAGGAGUGGCCUGACGCUGUGCCAGACUUGAAGCAGGAGGUGUGGCCACUAGUAGAAAAAGGGUCAAAUGUGAAGCACAUUAGUGCCGGUUUGUGAAAAAACCGGCACUAAUGUGAUCAAUAGUACCGGUUCGUGGCGGCGAUCAAUAGUAUCGGUUCGUGACGAACCUUUAGUACCGGUUCAUGCCACGAACGGUACUAAAGAGGAUGUGGCAGCCUGCAGUCAGGCUAUGGCCCCACCAUCACCAUUUAGUGCCGGUUCGUACCACGAACCAGUACUAAUGAGGUUAUGGCAAGCUGUUUUUAGUCCCACCUCGCUCCCCUAACAAGGCUUUUACCACCUUAAAUAUGUUACUUCUCAAACUAUCACAAGCACUUGGUCUUCAUUGAACUCUAUGUGUAGAAUUUGUGGCUGCAAUAUGAGUCUUCACCGGUUUAUAAAUCGUUGAGGACUCAUAUUGACAAUUCAGAUUGUACACAAAAAGAUCAUUGAUGAUCAAAGUAUUUUUAAUGUAUAAGAUCAUAGUGACAAUUCAGACUGUAAAGAAAUAUAAUAUCAUAAUCUAAAUGCUCUUAUAUUUUUUGCAUUCAGUAUGCACCAUUCAAAGCGACGCCAUCAACUUUCAACCAUUUAUGCCUUCAUUUGCUAUUUUUCAUGCAUUUAAUGAUUUGUUUUGAGAACUAAAUAACCUGGAAAUUGAAAAGCACUACAAAUGAACUCUGAAAAAGUUGAAACUUGGCAUGGUAUCAUCAUUUCACCCACAUAGCAUGUCCAAAAAAGUAGAGAGGGUUAUGGCAAAAACUGGAUGCACUUCGUUUACAAACUGGACAAUCUCUUUCGAAGUAUUUGGGUUUUGACGAAAUUAAACUCAUCUGUUACAAAGGCAUUUCAUUUUUUAAACUUAUUACAACCCCAGACUUUUUGUUCAUUAGUAUGCACUAUUCAACUACUAGGCGGGAGGAGCUCUUUAGUACCGGUUCCAACUGCUAAGCGGGAGGAGCUCUUUAGUACCGGUUCGUGGCGAACCUUUAGCACCGGUUCGUGCCACGAACUGGUACUAAUAAGGUUGUGUUAGGUAAGGCUGGGGCCCCACGAGCACCUUUAUUACGGGUUCAUGGCAUGAACCAGUACUACAGUUUCUUAGAAAGCUGUUUUUUAGUCCCACCUCGCGAAGAGAGAGGGACUAGGAGCGGUUUAUAAGCCCUGAGUGCAGAGACGAUGAAGAAGAGGCUCAAUGCUCACGUUGCUUAGCUUCAAGCCUUGAGGAAUAUGGUAGACUGCAUGGAGCUAUGUGCAAUGCAGUUUACACUAUUCCGAAAGGCUUGAAACUAAUUAACGAGCAUUGCAUCUCUUUUUUAUUUUUAAUAACUUAUUACAACUCCGGACUUCUUCUGUUAUGGCAAAAACUAGAUGCACUUCGUGUACAAACUGGACAAUCUCUUUUAAAGUAUCAGGGCCGGUUUCAGACGAAAACUCUGGUUAUAACUCCAGACUUUGACCAUCAAGUUUUAACCAUCAACUUGGCAUGGUAUAUGAAAAUAAAUGAAUAGAAGAAAAUAAAUAAAGCAGAAAAGAAAAAAACUAUAGCAGAAAAUAAAAAACUAUAUAAAAAACUACUCAGAAAUAAAUAGAAGAAAAUAAAUAUAGCAGAAAAGAAAAAAACUAUUCAGAAAUAAAUAGAAGAAAAAAUAAAGCAGAAAAGAAAAAAAACUAUAUUUGCUAUUUUUCAUUCGUUUACUGAUUUUUUUAGAGAGCCAAAUGACCGUGAAAUUAAAAAUCACUACAAAAUAAACUCUGAAAAUGUUGAAUUUUGGCAAACUAGAUAAAAAACUACUCACAAAUAAAUAGAAGAAAAUAAAUAUAACAGAAAAGAAAAAACUAUACAAAAAACUACGCAGAAAUAAAUAGAAGAAAAUAAAGCAGAAAAUAAAAAAACUAUACAAAAAAAUUGGGGCGCUGCCCAAUGGGCCUGCUAGGCCACGGGCGUGCAAUUACAGGCCCUAACGGCCCAACAGGCUCACAGGGCAGCGCACAGAAGUUAGGCCCAGAAGCCUGCUAUAUAUAGGAGUUCAAAGAGGCAGCCGCGGCUGGGUUUAUAAACCAGUGAGGCUGCCCUUCGCACGGGGAGAUGGGACUAAACGUCGUGCACCGCGGGUGGCAGCGCAAGGCCUUUAGUAUCGGUUGGUGGCUCCAACCGGUACUAAAGCUCGUGCCUUUAGUACCGGUUGGAGUCACCAACCGAUACUAAAGGCCAUCGGUUCCCGUCGUUUGGCCUGGCGAAAAUAGGCCUUUAGUACCAGUUGGAGGCACCAACCGGUACUAAAGGCCCAUCCUAUAUAUAUAGCACUUACGAAAUUUUCAGUUUCAUCCCCCACUUCGUCUCUCGAACCGCGUGCGCCGCUCGAUCCCCGUCGUGUCGCCGCACGUCGCCCGUCGUCCGUCGUCGUCGUCGCUGUCCCCCGCCGCCGCCCGUCGUCGUCGUCGUCUCACGCCGCUGCCCUGAACGCCGCCGCUGUCUGUCGUCGUCGCCGCGGCGCCGCCCGAUACGUCUCUCCCCGCCCCGUACGCCGACGCCCCUGCCCCCGCCCCGUACGCCGCCGCCCCCGCCCCCGCCCCGUACGCCGGCGCCCCCGCGGCGUACUGCACAUACACACACACGUAUACAUAUACACGCAGUACACACAUAUACACACACAUACACAUACACAUUUUUUUACUAGUUGAAUAAUUUAUAUAAUUAAUAUAACUAGUUUAUUUUAGUAAGAAAAUAAUCGAACUAGUUUAUUUAGGUAUAUGAGAUUUGAACUAGUUGAAUAAUUAAUAUAACUAGUUUAUUUUUAGUAAGAAAAUAGUCGAACUAGUUUAUUUAGGUAUAUGAGAUUUGAACUAGUUGAAUAAUUAAUAUAAAGAAAAUUUAGGUAUCUGAGAUUUGAUGAUCUAAUUAAAAUAUUAUUUGUUAAUGAGUUUUUCUGUUUAUUUAAUUUUUUUUAUAUAUUUUUAGUUUAUAUAAAUGUUAGAUUAAUGUCGAAUGUUAAAUGAAUUAGAUAGAAAAGUUAAAUAUAUAGUAAUGUCAAUUGUUAGAGAUGAAUAUAGUUAGAUAUAUUAAUGUCAAAUGUUAGAUGAAUAUAUAUAUUUGAAUUAGCUAGAUAUUAAUUAAUGUUAGAUAGUAAUAAGUGUUUAAUGUUUCACUUAUAUGAACAUAGGAAAUGUCAUCUGACAACGAAGAAGAUUUCAUUAUGUGCGAACACUNNNNNNNNNNUCUCCUACAUGUUGCCUUGGUGCCUUCGGAGCACGAUGACAAGUGGUUCAUGGGGGCGGUAGCGGGUGAUAGUAUUCUCCUUUGGGAUCUAUAACCUGGUCGAGCAAAAAUCCCGCUAUUUCCUCUUGAAGUGCUCGUAUGCGCUCCUCUGAUAGGAGCUUGUCCCGCACCUAUUUGAACUGUUAAGAAGGAGAUCAAUAUGCAUGUGUAUUAGUUGUGUGACUAGAUAUCGACAAUCAUGUAAGAUUUGUGAAUAUUGUUCUGGCAAACGUACCCAGUCCUGUCUAUCAGAUCUGCUCCUUUCGGACGCCAUCAUGCGAAUGUUCUCGCAAACGUAGUAUGCACACACUUCAGUCUCCGGCGCCUGCUUCAGGGCCUUUACGACAAUAGAAUUUAAUCAGAUAAUAAUUAAUCAAGUAUGUUAAUUAAUUAAUUGUAUUGAAACAAGAAUUAAAGAGAUGGUAGUUAGCUAGCUAGUACUACUUAAUUACUUACCUUGGGUCGAUAUCAACAUAGCUUUUGUCGCCAUUUUCCUGGAGUCACCUUGAUGUACUUUGCCCAAGCCCUGCCCGCCGGCAAAGAAAAUUAAUAAAGGGGUUAUUAAAAAUAGUUCAUAUCAGGAAAUGACGAACUAAAUAGGCUGAGAUAUAGUUAAUAAUGAUUGAAAUAACCUGUCGACUAUCCCCUUCACGAUGCUGUAGUCACUAUUUUUUUAAGUAGUGAGUCCAGUACUUCAACUUUUCCUUCGUCAACUUUAAUGUCUAAUAAGAUCCAGUGGAAGCUGCAUGCGCAUACGUUUGCAUGUAUAAAUUAAACGGGCAUGUGCAUAACACUAAUCAACUAUAACCCUAAACCCUAUACACUUAUUAACAUCUAGCUAGUAAGCAAAAACAGAAUUUGUAGUACAAGACAGUGUGACUCACUCGAAGUUGUAAGGAAGUAGUAUAUCUUCAUUGCUAUUGAGGCGCUUCAAGAACUCUAGCAUGCAUUUCUCUACAUCUUGUCUACACCUUUCCAAUUUUCAUGUGUAUUCAUUAACGGUAUUUGGGUCAAUGAACCCAAUGCCAUAGCGUCCAGCUUUUUUCAUUUCAUACAUCUUCAUCCUGCAUAAUACCACAGAAAAGAAUAUAUAGUGAGGAUAUAUAAUUACAGGUAAUUAAUGAUCAAUCAAUGAGCACUAGAGCUAGCUUGAGACUUAAAUUACAGAAAGAAAUCACUUACAGACAAUAGCAACUGACGAUAGAUUUGUCGAGUGCAUCUUGAUUGAAUAACUGAAAUAGUUUUGAAUACUCAAUGGCCAGAACUUUCUUAUGGAAGUAAUGAUCUUCCUCGACUUGCACCAUGAGGGACUCUCGAUUGGAAAUCUUGGUAAUUUUCAUGUACCAAUCAUGCAAUUCAUACAUUCUCGUUGGGAGGUUCUUGACCUCCUCGGGCUCGACCAAAGGUUGGCCCCGGACAUAUUUCCGUUUUAUUUCCUCCUCUCUAAGCGGAGGCAUGGGCUCGAUCUCGAGGAGUUGUCCAACAGUGAUCUUGAGCAUUUCAGCCUGCAUUAUAUGCUCCUCGGUUAUUACCACAUCGCCCAGCUCGGGAACGUAAACGGUUUGCCCACAAUAAUAUUGGGCGCGCGUACUCUCAUGUGUUGUUGGCACAACAAGCGAGGGGGGGGGGGUGGUCGAUUGCGCCGCCUGUUCUCCCAGCUGGGGAACGGUUUUCCCGCAUUUUUUGACAGCUGCUUGUUGGCUCGAGCUCGAGCUUGCUUCUUUCUGUAGUCGUGCUCGAUGUGCCUUCUUGAUUUGGCGCUCAUAGUCUGAGUCAACAGGCUUGGGAGCUGGUGGUCUAGCCAUACGAAUGAAGUGGUCAAUCUUUUCCUCAGGCACUUUCUCCCUCGGCGGCGUUGCCGGUUUCGGUCGAAAAUGAGCGUCCACUUGGGCCCACACUAUUGCAUCGUUUUGCUCCUCGGUCAUGUCGUAAGGCCUCUGAGGAAGAGGAGCGAGGCUGCUUGGACCAUAUUUAUAUCGCUUGUCUCCGCCUGUACUUUCUGUACUACCUCGACUCGUACCGCUACGCACCAUAGCUGCGGCGUGUCUCUUCUGCGAUUGCUUAGGCGGCGGAGACGGCUGACGUGGCUUAGUUGGAGCAGGAGGAGUGGCCCGACGCUGUGCCGGACUUGAAGCAGGAGGUGUGGCCUGACACGGUGUCGGACUUGAAGCAGGAGGUGUGGCCUGACGCCGUGCCGGACUUGAAGCAGGAGGUGUGGCCUGACACGGUGGCGGACUUGGAGGAGCGGGAGUCUGCUGACACGGUGGCGGACUUCGAGGAGGAGUCGGCAGACGCGGUGUCGGUGGACUUCGAAAGAUGAUGCAAUCCUUUUUCCAUAGGAUGAAACGAUGUAUGGCCUCUCCCAGUGUUUGCUCGUCGUCACCUCCAGGAAUGUCAAGCUCUAGCCCCGAAUAUGGGCCCACCACCUCAUCAACCAAGACACGAGCAUAGCCCUCUGGAAUCGGGGCACAAUGGAAGGUUGCUCCGGGGGUAAUUGUAAAAGCAACGGCGUUCGCCACCUUCAUGGAUAUGUUCUUCAUUUUGUAGUGUAGCUCACAGUUAGUGUUCUCUAUGAUGUCAUCCACAGGGUAUGUAUCCAGCAGUGCGUCGCCCGGGGCGGAACCAACGCUGCUUCUCGGCAUGGAUGGGACGGCGCUAUCCAAUGCUGGAUGAUCAUCCGCUUGCUGCUGCCGCUGCUGAGACCCCCUUUCCUGGCUAAGUGAGUCGAUCUGCUGCUGUUGCUGCUGCUGGAAUUUGAGUGCCAAGUCCGCGUGCCUUGCUUCUAGGCCUUGAAGGCGUUCCGCGUCCUGCUUCCUCUGCUCCUCCUCCAGCUUCCUCUUCUUCUCCUCCUCCAUCUUCUUUCUUGCACGGGUCCUGUAGUCGUCGUUCCAUUCCGAAAAGCCCUCAUACCAGGGAAUAACGCCCUUGCCUCGCGUUCUUCCCGGGUGUUCAGGAUUUCCCAGGGCACGCGUAAGCUCGUCGUUCUCUCUGUUGGGCGUGAACACCCCCUUUCGAGCAUCUUCUAUUGCGUCAAGUAACUUUUCUUCUGCUCCGUUUAGACUUGCCUUCUUCGAAACCAGGCCUGUCUUCGGGUCCAACGCCCCCCCAUGCGCAUAGAACCAAGUUCUGCACCUGGGGGGCCAGCUCCUAGUAACCGGAGUGACCCCUGCAUCCUCCAUCUCUUGCUCAGACUUAUCCCACUUAGGCAUUGCCACCGCGUAGCCACCUGGACCCAGCCUAUGGAACUGCGUCUUUUUUGCGGCAUUGGCCUUGUUUUUUCUCGACGUUCCUUAGAUAAUUCUGAUUCCUUGAAUUUCACGAAAGCGGGCCAGUGUUCUCUUUGCUUCUCCAGUGUUCCCUUGAAUUCUGGAGUCUUCCUUUCUGCAGUGAGGUAGUUGGCCCAUACAGUUUUCUUGUGGGUGUUGAAUGCAAUUGCCAUCUUCUUAAGAGCAGCGUCCUUGACUUUCUGCACAUCUGCAUCAGUGAAAUAAUCUGAUAGGGUGAAAUGUUCCAUCAGAGAUUUCCAAAGCUUUUGUUUUGCUCUGUCGUCGACCCAAGUAAUAUCUGGGCGUUUAGUUUUUGGCUCUUUCCAUUCUUGAAUGGAGAUCGGGAUUUGGUCCUUCACAAGAACUCCGCACUGACGAACGAACUUGCUCGCAAUGUUCUUAGGCGUGAGGGGUUCGCCACUAGCUUUGAUGGAAUCGAUGUUGUACUUUACACCCUCCUUCAACUUUUUGCUCGGGCCGCGCUUUGUCCUGCUGUCUGUAGAAGCAGAUUUGCUCGAUCCGGAGGGCUGAAAGAAGAAAGAUCGAUUCGUUAAUAUAUCUUCAAAUAAAAAAACAUGUGAUGAUCACUAGAUGACUGCUUAUAUAAAUAUACCUCGCCGGUAGUCUUUGUUAUUUCAAGAUCAACAUUGUAUUCGUCAUCAUAAUCAUUGUCUGCGUCAUCAUAAUCAUAAUCAUAGUUCAUGACUUCAUCAGCUCGGUCGUCGAGAUUGAAUAUCUUAUCAUCACCCUCCCCGGUAUUGUUCAGAUAUUGGGAGCCGUCAUUUGCUUCAUUUAGAUCAUCUGGCCUGCUAGGGCUGCGUAUGAUCUCGAACAGGGCCUCUUCUCCCUCUCUGCCGGUAUUGUCCGCCAUAGCUUUUAUUUAACUAAUACAAAAGAAAUAUAAAACAAUUAAGUAUUCAAAUUACAAUGCAUGGAUGCAAUCAAUAAGGAAAAACUGAAUCAUAUAGUACAUAAUAUGCAUCGUCUCGAAUAAUAUAUAAUCUCGAAUACAUCGUCUCGAAUAAUAUAUAAUCUCAAAUACAUCACUGGCUAGGUAGCUAAUAAAGAUCGAAUACUAUAGAAGAAUCUAGGCCACUCGCGGUUCCUGGGGCGCGGGCGGUGGACACCCAAAGACAAGGAACCAUCACAGAAUCAUAUCUCUGGUCAUCUGCCCAAAGAACCUGCCAGGUAUUGGAGAACCUGACGUCCAUAGCAGCCAUGUAGCGAUGGACGUGCUCGUCCUCCUCCCUGACACGACGACGCACCACCUCUGGCGGGGCCGGCUCCCUCUGCACCGAAUGUGGCCCACGCGAACGCCACUAAAGGAGAUCAGGGUCGACAACGGGACCCGAGGCUGGGUCCCUCACCAAGCGGCGCGCCCCUCCAGGUAGCACCUCCCAAUGCCAGCCCGGCGGAGCCCAAUCCCGGACAUGGGUCAGCCGGACGUCGUCGCGAACGGGUCGACGGCGAGGAUGCAGGCCGGGCAUCGUCGAGAACAAAUACUAUAUGCCCGCAAAAAGUAACAUUUUUUAAAAGAUUGGAUUGUGAUAACUAAAAUUCUAUAUGCAAAUUCUAACAAUUUGACAUUAAUCUAAUUCAUCUAACUAAAACUAAUUCUAAAAUUUCUAACAUUUCUAUAUAUAUAACUAACAUUUCUAUAACAUUUCUAAUAUUUCUAUAACUAAAAAACAGAAAAAUUGCUACGAUGACGCGGAUGGCGACGAGGGGGGCAGCGACGGGGGCGGCGACGACGGGGACGGGGACGGCCGGGGCGGCGACAACGGNNNNNNNNNNNNNNNNNNNNNNNNNNNNNNNNNNNNNNNNNNNNNNNNNNNNNNNNNNNNNNNNNNNNNNNNNNNNNNNNNNNNNNNNNNNNNNNNNNNNNNNNNNNNNNNNNNNNNNNNNNNNNNNNNNNNNNNNNNNNNNNNNNNNNNNNNNNNNNNNNNNNNNNNNNNNNNNNNNNNNNNNNNNNNNNNNNNNNNNNNNNNNNNNNNNNNNNNNNNNNNNNNNNNNNNNNNNNNNNNNNNNNNNNNNNNNNNNNNNNNNNNNNNNNNNNNNNNNNNNNNNNNNNNNNNNNNNNNNNNNNNNNNNNNNNNNNNNNNNNNNNNNNNNNNNNNNNNNNNNNNNNNNNNNNNNNNNNNNNNNNNNNNNNNNNNNNNNNNNNNNNNNNNNNNNNNNNNNNNNNNNNNNNNNNNNNNNNNNNNNNNNNNNNNNNNNNNNNNNNNNNNNNNNNNNNNNNNNNNNNNNNNNNNNNNNNNNNNNNNNNNNNNNNNNNNNNNNNNNNNNNNNNNNNNNNNNNNNNNNNNNNNNNNNNCGGGGGCGGCGGGCGACGGGGCAGAGGAGAAGAAGCAGAUGAAAACUGACGAAAUUUCUAAGUGCUGCUUAUAUAGGAUGGGCCUUUAGUACCGGUUGGAGCCACCAACCGGGACUAAAGGUCAAAUUUGGCCAGCCCAAGCGGCGGGAAGCGCACCCCUUUAGUACCGGGUGGUGGCACCAACCGGUACUAAAGACCCCCCUUUAGUACCGGUUGGAGCCACCACCCGGUACUAAAGGGUGUGCGCUGCUAGGCGAGGGGCGCAGAAGUUUAGUCCCACCUCGCUAGUUGAGGAGCGCCAGGACCAGUUUAUAAGCCCCGAUGCGGGCACUGCAUUGAGCUCCUCUCAAUAGUAGGCCUUCUGGGCCUACCUCUCCUACUCUGCCUGUGGGCCUACUGGGCUUGCGGGCCUGCAUCCUGGCCCAACUACAGGUUGGGUUUCUAGUCGUAUGCAGGCCGCUCUGGCCGAGUAGGUGGGCUUUUUUAUUUUCUUUUUUUUUUACUUUAUUUAUUUUUGAGUUGUUUUUUGCUGUAUUUAGAGUUUCUUUGGGAAUAUUUUUGCUUUAGGUACAAAAAAUUACAAAGUUUCUGUUAAUGCCGGUAGUUUACAAAUUUGAAUAGUUUAUAUUUUGAAUUAUUUGAAAUUUGUGUGAAUCACUAGUUUGUGAAUAACUUAACUUUGAAAAUAGAUUUUCAGUGAUUCUUUUAUCUUAUGUUUAAUAUUAGUGUGUUUUAUCAUUAUAUUCAAUUUGGUAAUGCUUAGGUUAUUUAAAAAAUGAAAUCCCUUUGUAACGGAUGAGUUUUUGUCCGAAACCCUGAUACUUCGAAAGAGAUUGUCCAUUUUAUACACGAAGUGCAUCCAGUUUUUGCGGUAACCCUCUCUAUUUUUUUGCACAUGCUAUAUGGGUGAAAUUAUGAUACCAUGCCAACUUUCAACCUUUUCUGAGUUCAUUUGAAAUGCUUUUCAAUUUCAGGGUCAUUUAGCUGAAAAAAUCAGUAAAUGCAUGAAAGAAUUUGUUUGCACAUAAAAUUUCUUCGCGUUUCAAAUGUCAAAACACAUAACUACCCUAACUAUUACAGAGAUUCCUUCCUGGGUGUGAAACACAGAAGAAAUUGAUGAUAGUGAAGCCGAUCACAUCCCAGAUCUUUGGGUGUGUAACUUUUUCUUCGCAUAUGUCCCUUUGCGCCGUAGCCAUGGAAAAUCUUCAUCAUUUAACUGGAUGCUCGGGUCAAUAUUCACUGUGAAUGGAGCAAUUUCAUCAAUCUUUUCAUAAUCUUCUGACAUGUCUGUCUUGUCAUCCACUCCCACGAUGUUUCUCUUCCCAGAAAGAACUAUGUGGCGCUUUGGCUCAUCGUAUGAUGUAGUCGCUUCCUUGUCUUUUCUUUUUCUCGGCUUGGUACACAUAUCCUUCACAUAGAAAACGUGUGCCACAUCAUUAGCUAGGACGAAUGGUUCAUCUGCAUACGCAAGAUUGUUGAGAUCUACUGUUGUCAUUCCAUACUGCGGGUCUUCCGUUACCCCAUAUCGUGUCAUAUUGACCCAUUUGCACCGAAACAAAGGGACCUUCAAAUCACGUCCAUAGUCAAGUUCCCAUAUCUCCUCUAUGUAACCAUAAUAUGUUUCCUUUCCCGUCUUGGUUGUUGCAUCAAAGCAGACACCACUGUUUUGGUUGGUGCUCUUCUUAUCUUGGGCGAUCGUGUAAAAUGUAUUACCAUUUAUCUCGUACCCUUUGAAAGUCAUUAUAUUCGUAGAUGGUAACUAGGACAGCGAGUACACAUCAUCUUCAAUAGAGGCGUCAUGCAUGGUACGUGUCUGCAACCAGCCGGCGAAACUCCUGGUUUGUUCACGUGUAAUCCAGUCAUCAGACCGCUCCGGGUGUUUGGAGCGUAGAAAAUUCUUGUGUUCGUCCAUAUACGGAGCCACCAAGGCGGAAUUCUGUAUAACUGUGUAGUGUGCUUCAGUGAGAGAAUGUCCGUCCAUACAUAUUUUUUGAUUCCCUCCUAGCGUGCCUUUUCCAUCUAGUCUGCCCUUAUGCCGCGAUUCAGGAACACCAAUCGGCUUAAGGUCAGGAAUAAAGUCAAUACAAAACUCAAUGACCUCCUAAUUUUCAUGGCCCUUGGAGAUGCUUCCUUCUGGCCUAGCACGGUUAUGAACAUAUUUCUUUAAGACUCCCAUGAACCUCUCAAAGGGGAACAUAUUGUGUAGAAAUACAGGACCCAAAACACUAAUCUCUUCGCAUAGGUGAACUAGGACGUGCGUCAUGAUGUUGAAGAAGGAUGGUGGGAACACCAACUCAAAACUGACAAGACUAAUCGAACGUUGAGGAAUGCACGCAUAGCUUCACAAUGGCUAAUCGAACGUUAUCCGGUAGAAGCCCCCUCAAUGCAACCGGAAGCAGUUGCGUCAUAAUCACGUGGCAGUCAUGAGACUUUAGGUUCUGGAACUUUUUCUCUGCCAUGUUUAUUAUUCCCUUUAUAUUCGACGAGAAGCCAGACGGUACCUUAAUACUGAGCAGACAUUCAAAGAAGAUUUCCUUCUCUUCUUUGGUAAGAGCGUAGCUGGCAUGACCCUGAUGUAUGCCGUCUUUUCCAUGCAUACGUUGCUAGUCCUCCCGUGCCUCAGGUGUAUCUUUUGUCUUCCCAUACACGCCCAAGAAGCCAAGCAGGGUCACGCAAAGAUUCUUCGUCACGUGCAUCACGUCGAUUGCAGAGCGGACCUCUAGAUCUUUCCAAUAGGGCAGGUCCCAAAAUAUAGAUUUCUUCUUCCACAUGGGUGCGCGUCCGUCAGCAUCAUUCGGAACAGGUUGUCCGCCAGGACCCUUUCCAAAGACUACCUUCAAAUCCUUGACCAUAUCAUGUACAUCAGCACCAGUACGGUGGCGAGGCUUCGUCCGGUGAUCCGCCUCACCUUUGAAAUGCUUGCCUUUCUUUCUUACGGGAUGCCUGCUCGGAAGAAAUCGACGAUGUCCUAGGUACACAUUCUUCCUACAAUUGUCCAAAUAUAUACUGUCGGUAUCAUCCAAACAGUGCGUGCAUGCGCGGUAUUCCUUGUUUGUCUGUCCUGAAAGGUUACUGAGAGCAGGCCAAUCAUUGAUGGUCACGAACAGCAAGGCCUUUAGGUCAAAUUCUUCCCCCAAGUGCUCAUUCCACGCACGUACACCUGUUCCAUUCCACAGCUGUAAGAGUUCUUCAACUAAUGGCCUUAGGUACACAUCAAUGUCGUUGCCGGGUUGCUUAGGGCCUUGGAUGAGGACUGGCAUCAUAAUGAACUUCCACUUCAUGCACAACCAAGGAGGAAGGUUAUACAAACAUAGAGUCACAGGCCAGGUGCUAUGGUUGCUGCUCUGCUCCCCAAAAGGAUUAAUGCCAUCUGCGCUUAGACCAAACCAUACGUUCCUUGCGUCAUCUGCAAACUCCUUCCCGUACUUUCUCUCAAUUUUUCUCCACUGCGACCCGUCAGCGGGUACUCUCAACUUUCCGUCUUUCUUACGGUCUUCUCUGUGCCAUCGCAUCGCCUUGGCAUGCUCUUUGUUUUGGAACAAACGUUUCAACCGUGGUAUUAUAGGAGCAUACCACAUCACCUUGGCAGGAAUCUUCUUCCUGGGGCACUCGCCCUCGACAUCACCAGGGUCAUCGCGCCUGAUCUUAUAGCGCAAUGCACCGCAUACCGGGCAAGCGUUCAAAUCCUCGUACUCACCGCGGUAGAGGAUGCAGUCAUUAGGGCAUGCAUGUAUCUUCUGCACCUCUAACCCUAGAGGGCAGACAGCCUUCUUUGCUUCGUACGUACUCUCGGGCAAUUCGUUGUCCUUUGGAAGCAUAUUCUUUAUCAUUACCAGCAACUUUCCAAAUCCCUUGUCAGAUACACCAUUCUCUGCCUUCCAUUGCAGCAAUUCCAGUGUGGUGCCCAACUUUUUCUUGUCAGCUUCGCAAUUCGGGUACAACAAUUUCUUGUGAUCCUCUAACAUGCGCUGCAACUUCUUCUCCAAAUCACUUGCGCAGUUUCUCUUUGCAUCGGCAAUGGCCCGACCUAGAUCAUCAGCGGGCUCAUCUGAUGCCUCUUCUUCAGCUUCUUCCCGCAUUGCCGGCUCAGCUUCUUCCCUCAUUGUUGUAUCAUCGUAUUCAGGGAACCCAUGGCCAGGAUAGUUGUCGUCGUCCUCUUCUUCUUCAUUGUCUUCCAUCAUAACCCCUCUUUCUCCGUGCUUGGUCCAAACAUUAUAGUGGGGCAUGAAACCAGGACUUAAACAGGUGGACGUGAAUGGUUCUUGACGUAGAGUAAUUGUGAUCAUUCUUACAGACUAAACAUGGACAAGGCAUAAAACCAUCCGCCCGCUUGUUUGCCUCAGCCGCAAGCAGAAAAGUUUGCACGCCAUUAAUGAACUCGGGAGAGCAUCGGUCAUCGUUCAUCCAUUGUCGGCUCAUCUUCAUUACACAACACCGAAUAGACCAAAUUAAUACAAGUUCAUACAUAAAGUUCAUACAAGCCUUAAAUGCAACAAACAAAUAACUCUCUAACUAAAAAAUUUAAAUGCAACAACAAAUGCGAUCAAGAUCGCAACUAAGGUGACAAUUGAUCCAACAACAUAAUGAUACCAAGCCUCACUAUCAAUGGCAUAUUUUCUAAUCUUUCUAAUCUUCAAACGCAUUUUCUCCAUCUUGAUCUUGUGAUCAUCGACGACAUCGGCAACAUGCAACUCCAAUUCCAUCUUCUCCCCCUCAAUUCUUUUCAAUUUUUCUUUCAAAUACUCGUUUUCUCUUUCAACUAAAUUUAACCUCUCGACAAUAGGGUCGGUUGGAAUUUCCGGUUCACAAACCUCCUAGACAAAAAUAUCUAUGUCAACUUGAUGGGCAUAAUUUGUCAUAAACACGAAAUGCAACAACUAGUUUUAAAAGAGAAUAUACCACAUCCGAAUCAUAAUAAGGAUGAGGGCCGACGGGGACGGAUAUCAAAACCAUGGCACUAUGUAUAACAAACAAUGUACGGGUAAGAUAAUUAUACGAGUAACUAUAUAUCCAAAUCACACAAACAUCAAUUUGGUAAUGUAAAACAUUCAUGAACAAGAGGCUCACCACAAGGUGGUGCCGGCGACGGAACGGUGUGGGCGAUCGACUGUGGUUACGAUAGAGAUUUAGAAGGCACUAAGUAAACCACACCUACAUAUGCAAACUAAGUGUUAGUUUUGACCACAAAUUGCAUAUAAGUCAAAUACUAGCACAUAUAUUUUCUACCAAAUUACUAAACUCAUAAAUUAAUCACUAUACAAAGCAUUGCAAGAGCUAAUCUAGCAAUGAGAGAUGAAAGGACAAAGUUGCUAACCUUUGUGGUCAUUUGAAUGGAUGGGGGCCUUCAAAUCUUGACAAAUUUUGGGCAAAAUGUGUGAUGAGCUCGAGAGGAAGAGGGGAAGAACAUAGAGGAGAGGGGAAAGGGGAAGAACAGAGCGAGCUCGGGUGGACGAAAGGCUUAUGUACGACGACCUUUAGCAUCGGUUCGUGCCACGAACCGGUACUAAAGGUGCUGGAGGGGCCCCGGACUGACAACAUCCUUCCACCUCUCACUUUAGUACCGGUCCGUAGCACGAACCGGUGCUAAAGGUCGGCCACGAACCAGUACUAAUGAAAGCAGCUGGCUAGCCGUUGGAACCGGCACUAAUGCACACAUUAGUGCCGGCUCAAAAGCAAACCGGCACUAAUGUGCUUGACAUUUGACCCUUUUCUACUAGUGAUUCAAGUAAAUAGAUGCCUAAUGCAUGUUGAAAUAAAAGUUUGCUUUACAUUCUGUUUGCACAAUUGUGUUUUUUACAAAGUCUUUAAAACAAGACCAAUAUUGAAUAUAUUUUUAGAAAUUAAUUUUUGACAACUAAAUCACCAUGCUUCGAACUUGUUCCAUACAUAUUUAUUAAUUCCAUGUGAAAAUUUUAAUAAUGUACAUUUCACAAAUUAUUAUCUUAUUGUUUCACUAUGGCUCCCCAUGUUCCGUUGCAUUUCAUAAUGAUACAUUGUGUGCCAAUGUGUAUCAAACUGAUUCUUAGUAAUCUAAAAGUUUGUAAAUAUUAAUAUAUUUUAUUGCAACAAAACUUUGGCCUUAUCUAGUGUUUAACAAAACAUGGCAUAGUUAUGUGUACUCUUAUAGUGUUUCACUAUGUUUCAGAAUUUAAAUUUUAAAAAUUAUUGAAAUAUAUUCAAAAGUGGUCUCUUUUCAAAGGUCUCGUUGUCAAAAACACAAAUAUGAAACCGGAUCAUAAAUUGUACUUUUGGUUCAUAAGACCAAUUAGAUUUGAACUUGGAAAUAAAAUGAAAAAGUAUGAAAUGGUGGAACGUAGGUGGAACAGUGUACUUGCAUGUGAUGAAAGAAAUAACUAACUAACUGCCAGCGGUAUAAAUGCAUGGCAUCGGAUCUCCAAACAAACCAACGGCGCAUGCAUGCACGGUACCUCCCGUGCAUGGGAGAUUAGCUUUUCUCUAUUUUGGGGGAUACUGUGCCAGUUCAGACUUGGCGUUUGGCAGCGUGGCCUGUUCAUGUGUUUGAUUGGGCGUAGUAGUGUGUGGGUACUUCAGUUAGAUGGUAUGCAGCGGAUCGAGUCUAUCGACCGUGUGGCGAUGCCUGUAGAUUGUAGCACUAAAAUAUGAUGCUCAUUCAUAAACUAAUUUAGAUAAAGCCGCAAAAAAAAUGUGCUAGUUUUUUUUUGUGCUCACAUACUCUGUUUUGUCUCAGUUUUAGUCCAGGGCAACUUUGAAGCUUAUCUUAGGGUGGUAGCCAGAAAAAUGUGUUAAAGACCUUAUUAAGAAGUGAAGAAGAAUAGGCGUCUCCAGUUUUUGUUUCUCCAACUCUAUGCCUACACUGUAAUAUUAUUGAUGGAUUAGCUCCAGUUGAUGCAACUGUACUCUUUCUGGUAGGUCUGAGAUGCGAGUGAGCCAGAUCGAUCCUGAGCUAGCUACUUGUCUCCCUUAAGUCUUACAGCAAGACAAAUGCACUGGACUACAAAGAGGAAAUUCCUGCAGGUUCGUAAUGCAUCUGUUUUGGUUCUGGCAUUUGUCAGAUGUGUAUAGUCCCUUUUCGGUUCUUUCCCGUUGUAUAAGGGGUUUCCUGCAUUUCACCACACAUGUAUAUGUAAUGGCCUUUGACCCUCAGUGAAUACUAGUUGCUGUUUAUCCAACAUGGUAUCAGAUGUUAGGUUCCUCUCUCUCCUGCACGCUGCAACUCCGUGCUAGCUCGCCUCCCCUGAUUCGCUUCGUCCCCUUGCCAUCCGGCUGAUGCUGCUCUCUGGCCGAUUCCGGCUGCCCCCGACCUGAGCUCCGCCCGGUCCUCCUCGUCGUGGAUCCGCCGGGGCCUGCUCGAUCCGGCCUCCCCGGCCUAUCCACGGCCAGGCUCGGCCACCCCUCGCCGCGGAUCCAACCGGGACCUGCUCGUCCCGUGCUCGGCCGUAGCCCUCCUUGCCGCUCGGCCACCCCGCGGAUCCGCCUAUGCCCGACCGGGGCCCUCCUCGCCGUGGAUCCGGUCUCUCCGGCCCGUCCAAUGCCAGGCUCGGCCCGGCCGCCGCCGCCUCCUGCCGGCCGGCCGCCGUCGCCCCUUUCUCCGCCUCGCCUUGGAUCCGGCCGGGGUCUGCUCGUCCCGUGCUCGUCGGGUCCUUGCUUGGCCGCUCGUCUGCCUGGCCGCUCGUCCCGUGCUCCUGCACUCGGGUUCGGCCCUCUGUGGUCAAUGUGUGUUGCCUAUAGUUGACCCUGUGUAAAAAAACCCAAUGAGCUCGUCAUGUCUCCGUCAGGCUAUGUGGCUGUUCCUCGGUGCUCGGUGAUCUUCGAUGGCACCAACUAUGCUGAGUUUGUGGGUUUCAUGCGCAUUCACAUGCGUGGUCUUCUCCUGUGGGGCGUUCUCUCUGGCGAGGUUCCAUGUCCGCCUUGCCCUGUUGCUCCUGUGGCUCCUAUCCCGCCGGUGCCGCCUGUUCUUGCUGUUGAUGCUUCUCAGGCUGAUCGGGAUACAGCCAAGGCCCUUGACGAUGCCGCGGUUGAUGCUUAUGAUCAGCAGGUAUCCGCCUACUCAGAUGCUCUUUCUGCUUACCGAAACGAUUUGUCUGCUUACACUCAGUGGUGCAACGAUGAUGCUCGAGCUACUGCUGUUCUCACUUCGAGUGUCUUACCUCAGUUUGCAUCUGAGUUCAUGGGUCUCAGUAUUGUUGCUGCGAUGUGGUCCUAUCUUUGUCAGUGAUAUCAGCCCUCUGGUGAUGCUCUCUACUUAUCUGUGGUGCAUCAGGAGCACGCUCUUCACCAGGGUGACCCUUCUGUUGAUGAGUUCUACUCACAGAGCUCUGCCAUCUGGCGCCAGAUUGACUCUCUCAGGAUAGUUGUUUGUGGUUCUUGCCGUUGUUGCCAGACUGUACGGUCAGACUUGGAGUUUCAUCGUCUCCAUGAGUUCUUAUCUCACCUUCAUCCAGAGUUUGAGCCUCGGCGUGCUCACCUGCUUGCUCGUGGUCGUGUUCCUAUUUUGGAGGUGCUUGUAGAGCUUCCUGCCGAGGAGACACGCCUCCGUUCUGCUGGUCUGCUUGUGGUUCCCACUGUGCUUGCUGCCCGAGCUCCUGUGUCGUCUGCUCGCCUCACCACUCGACCACUCCUGCCCACACCUCCAGGGGGUGGUUCACCCUCCUUCAGGCGAGGGUCGAUCGCGCUCGCACACCUUCCGUGGCUACUGCAACAGGCCAGGUCACCCAAAGUCUGAUUGUCACAAGAAGCGGAAAGACCUGAAGCGCUCUUCUUCUAGUGGGACUCGUGCGUCUUCCUCGACUUCGUCGCUCAUUGACCAGGAUAUUGUGCGGCUCAAGCGCAUGUUGGCUUCCUCUGGUUCUUCCUCGACGGGUUCUGUUGCCGCUGUGACUACCACUACCACUCCGCCGCCGUCGGAGCCUACUCAGUGAGGUACAUCCUCGUGGGUUCUGGAUUCUGGAGCUUCUUUCCAUAUGUCUUUUGACUCUUCUGCUUUAUCUUCUCUUCGACCUCUUGAUUUUCCUCUUAAUGUUCUCACUGCCGAUGGCACACCCCUUCCUGUUACUAGUCGUGGCAUUCUUUCCACUCCGUCUUUUUCGGUUCCUAGUGUUUCUCAUGUUCCUCGUCUUACCAUGAAUCUUUUUUCCGCUGCCCAACUUACUGAUUCUGGUUGUCGUGUCAUUCUUGAUGCCGACUCUUGUUCUGUUCAGGAUCGUCGCACUCAGGCUCUGGUUGGCGCUGGCCCUCGGCGCGGUGAGUCUAAGGGACUUUGGGAGGUUGACUGGCUUCGUGUUCCUUCCGCUGCUACCACAUACACCAGCUCUCAUGCUCUUGUUGCCUCCUCUUCUGCGUCCUUCCAGCAGUGGCAUCAUCGACUUGGUCACAUCUGUGGCUCUCGCUUGUCCUCCUUAGUUCACCAAGGCGUCUUAGGGUCUGUCUCUGGUGAUGUUUCGUUGCAUUGUGAUGGUUGUAGGCUUGGAAAACAGACUCAGUCACCUUAUCCUACCAGUGAGUCUAUAUCUCAGCGUCCUUUUGACUUAGUUCAUUUUGAUGUAUGGGGUCCUGCUCCUUUUGACUCGAAAGGGGGUCAUCGCUAUUAUGUUUUGUUUAUUGAUGAUUUCUCUCUCUACACUUGGCUUUAUUGUAUGAAAUCUCGCAGCGAGGUUCUCCCCAUAUACAAGCGUUUUGCUGCCAUGGUUCGCACUCAAUUUUCCACGCCUGUCCGUAUCUUCCGUGCUGACUCAGCUGGAGAGUAUAUCUCUCACAUGUUGCGUGGUUUUCUUGCGGAGCAGAGUACUCUUGCCCAAUUCUCUUGCACUGGUGCACAUCCUCAGAAUGGCGUUGCUGAACACAAACAUCGCCAUUUGCUUGAGACGGCUCGGGCGAUGAUGAUCGCCGCCUCUCUUCCACCCCAUUUUUGGGCUGAGGCCGUUUCAGUAUCCACCAGCUCGUCAACAUUCAGCCAUCGGCUGCCUUGAAGGGUGGUAUUCCUAUGGAGCGUCUCUUUGGUCCUGACUACUCUGCUCUUCGCAUGUUUGGAUGCAUGUGCUAUGUUCUCCUUGCUCCGCGAGAACGAACCAAGUUGACUGCUCAGUCAGUUGAGUGUGUUUUCCUUAGCUAGAGUGAUGAGCACAAGGGCUAUCGCUGUUGGGAUCCUGUUGGUCACCGACUGCGCAUUUCGCGUGAUGUGACUUUUGAUGAGUCUCGUUCUUACUAUCCGCAUCCCUCCUCCUCGAGCUUUUCCGUGGAAGAUAUUUCCUUUCUUCUCCUUCCCGACACAUCUCCCUCUGUGUCUCCUGUUAUUCCCUCUCCCCCGAUGAGUCUCCCUACACCAUCGGUACCAUCAUCCCCUCCCUCCUCCUCCUGUCCCUCGUCAUCUCCCUCCCCACCCUCCUCCCCAGUCUUUCGCCCUCACUCCCCUUCUCCUCUCCACUACACUCGUCAUCCUCAUGCUGUGGAUGAUCCUACUGAUGUGCCCUCUACUUCCGGUGCACCUCCUCUCACGCCUACACCGGUCCAUAACCUUUGCGUUAGGCCUUGUCCCCCACCUGAUCGCUAUUCUCCUGACCAGUAUGGUCUUUCUGCCAUUGCUGAGCCCACCACCUAUCGAGCUGCCAUGACUCGGCCUGAAUGGCAGCUUGCCAUGGCCGAGGAGCUUGCGGCGCUUGAGCGCAAUGGCGCGUGGGAUCUGGUUUCUCCUCCUUCUGGUGUUUGUCCCAUCACGUGCAAGUGGGUCUAUAAGAUUAAGACUCGCUCUGAUGGUUCUCUUGAGCGUUACAAAGCUCGUCUUGUGGCUCGUGGCUUUCAGCAGGAACAGGGGCGUGAUUAUGACGAGACUUUUGCUCAUGUGGCCCAUAUGACCACUGUCCGCACUCUACUUGCUGUGGCUUCUGUUCGUCAUUGGCCUGUGUCUCAGCUUGACGUUCAGAACACCUUUCUCAAUGGCGAGUUGCGUGAGGAGGUUUAUAUGCAGCUACCACCGGGGUACUAUGCUCCUGAUGGUAUGGUCUGUAGACUUCGCCGCUCCCUCUAUGUGUAGGAUCGGAAGUAUGUCUAGAGGGGGGGGGGGUGAUUAGACUACUUGACCAAAUAAAAAUCUAGCCUUUUCCCAAUUUUAGUUCUUGGCAGAUUUUAGCAACUUAGCACAAGUCAAACAAUCAACCUACACAUGCAAUUCUAAGAGUAUAGCAGCGGAAAGGUAAAGCAAUUGCAUAUGAAGGUAAAGGGAUGAGUUUGAGGGAGCAAACGCAAUGUUGACAUAGAGAUUUUUUAUCCGUGGUUCCGAUAGGUGGUGCUAUCGUACAUCCACGUUGAUGGAGACUUCAACCCACGAAGGGUAACGGUUGCGCGAGUCCACGGAGGGCUUCACCCACGAAGGGUCCACGAAGAAGCAACCUUGUCUAUCCCACCAUGGCCGUCGCCCAUGAAGGACUUGCCUCACUAGGGUAGAUCUUCACGAAGUAGGCGAUCUCCUUGCCCUUACAAACUCCUUGGUUCAACUCCACAAUCUUGUCGGAGGCUCCCAAGUGACACCUAGCUAAUCUAGGAGACACCACUCUCCAAGAAGUAACAAAUGGUGUGUUGAUGAUGAACUCCUUGCUCUUGUGCUUAAAAUGAUAGUCUCCCCAACACUCAACUCUCUCUCAUAGGAUUGGAUUUGGUAGAAAGAAGAUUUGAGUAGAAAGCAACUUGGGAAGGCUAGAGAUCAAGAUUUAUGUGGUUGGAAUGGAAUAUCUUGAACUCAACACAAGUGUAGGUGGUUCUCUCUCAGAAAAUAUGUAUUGGAAGUGUAGGCAUGUUCUGAUGGCUCUCUCCACGAAUGAAGAGUGGGUGGAGGGGUUUAUAUAGCCUCCACACAAAAUCUAACUGUUACACACAAAUCACCAAACUCGGUGGGAGCGAUUCAAAGAACUCGGUCAGACCGAUUUGGUUCAUAAUGUGAACGUUAGGAUUCUCGGUGGGACCGACAUGUCAACUCUGUGGGACUGAUGUCAUUAGGGUUAGGGCAUAACGUAAUCUCGGUGAGACCGAUUACACAAACUCGGUGAGUCCGAUUUUGGUAAUAGCCAAACAGAGUGUUGGUCUGGCAAACUCGGUGGGACCGAUUCGCUCAUCUCGGUUGGACCGAAAUGUUACGAAAGGGAAACAGAGAUUUUGCAUUGUAAUCUCGGUGGGACCGAUCGCUCAUCUCGGUUUGACCGAAACGUUACGAAGGGAAACAGAGAGUUUGCAACCCCAUCUCGGUGAGACCGAGAUCCCUAUCGGUGAGACCGAAUAGAUUAGGGUUUCUGGCAGUGGCUAUGUCAACUGAACUCGGUGGCUCUGGAUGGAAAGAAUCGGUGGGGCCGAGUUGGACUUUUUGGUUUAGGACAUAUGUGGAUAUGAGAAAGUAGUGGAGGGUUUUGGAGCAUAUCACUAAGCAUUUUGAGCAAGAAUCUCAUUAAGCAACACCUCAUCCCUUCUUAAUAGUAUUGGCUUUUCCUAUAGACUCAAUGUGAUCUUGGAUCACUAAAAUGAAAAAUGUAGAGUCUUGUGCUUUGAGCUUGAGCCAAUGUUUUGUCCUUAGCAUUUUGAAGGGUCCACUUCCUAAUCCAUGCCAUGCCAAACAUUGAGCUUUCCUAAAAUAUUUAUCUUGGAAUAGCAUUAGCUCAGUGAGCUAUAUGUUGUUAGGAAUUACCAAAACCACCCAGGGAUAGUUGCACUUUCAAUCUCCCCCUUUUUGGUAAUUGAUGACAACAUAUAGAUCAAAGCUUCGACAAAUGAUAAAUAAGAUUGAAAAACAUCGUCGCUUUGAGAAGUAUGUGAUAAGCAAGAGCUCCCCCUAAAUUUGUGCAUUAUUUAAGAUUUGCUUUUGAAUGCAAAUGCACAAUCGAUUAGGAUCAUGGGUUACUCUUCCAUGUCACAUACAUCUUGGUGGAGCACUCAAAUGAUAGAGAUUAAAAGCAUGCACUCAUCACCAAGCAAAGUGAAUGAUCAUAAUAGGAUAUGAAAGAUAGCAUUAUCCAACAAGCAUUAAGGGUAGCAUAUGAUCAAACACUUGACCAAAUAAGUAUCUCACAAGGACACAAAGUAGUAUCACACAAGCACGCAGUAAAGUUUCAAACCAACCAAAAAAGAGUGCAAAGAGAGAUAAAAACCAACACUCUCUCUCUCGAAGCCUAUGAUCUAUACAUUUUUCUCCCCCUUUGGCAACAAGUUACCAAAAAGUUUGAAAAUGCAUAGUUCUAAACGACUCUCAGGCUUGAUCUUCGGGAGGUGGUGUUGAGAGAACGCCAAGGACGAAGGCUUCUGAUGAAGUGGCUGGAGCUGGUGGAGUAGCUACUGGCGUUGGAACUGGAGCUGUGGCUGCUGGUGCUGAUGUUGUAGCUCUAGUGUCUGUCACUGGCACUGCAGUAGAUCUCUGUCCUCUGGGCACUCUAGCAAAUGCAUCUGUGGUAGACUUGCCCUUCUUCUCCUCUGCUUCCUCCUGAGGUUGCUCAACUGCUCUUUGGAUCUCAGUUACCUUGACAUCAAGGUCAUAGAAUUUUGUCUCAACAAUCCUUUCCAAGCUCUCCUGGUUCUUGGUCAGGGUGGCCAAGCCCUGCUCAAUCCUCAGAGUGGAUUGGAUCAGAUAUGCAAGCUGGUCGUGCUUGCUCUUCAAGAAUACAUGAGAUGCCUCUUCCAUAGUUGGCAUCUUUGCAACUUUCGCAGCUUUAGCCUUCUCUCUCUUUUCUUGUGCUUGCACAAAUGAUGGUUCAUUCUCAGUCAUGACAACAGUGUUGUCCUCAAAUUCAGGAUAGAUGGGUAGAUGCUCCUUGUCCAAGAUGUACUUGCCUUUGCCCAUCUUUGAGUUGAUGAGCUCCUGGAUGUGUGGGGCAUAUCCACAACUUCGCUUCUGAUCGGCUGCAGUCCUCUUGAUUGUUUCCACAAUCAGGCUCAUAACCUUGAAUUUUUGUGGGACAUCAAAUAUGUGCAGCAAGUUGAUAGCAUGUCCUCUGAUCAUCUUGUGAUCACCUGACUUGGGUAGAAGUGUGUGCCUCAGAAUCCAAUUGAUUGUUGGCAGACCAGACAACAAAUAGUGUACAGAUCCAAACUUAUGUGUGUCCAAAGCAUCAUCAGGGAUCUCUUCGUACAUAUUUGCCAUAGAGUUGUGGUCUUUCUUCUUCUUGUCAUAGACAUCCAAGUCAUCCUCAUGUUCCUCAGGAGCAUUUAUUAGUUUUGCCCAUUCUUCAACUGUAAACUGGUACCUAGUACCCUCAGACAUCCACACAAUCCUUCCAUCUGGAUAGAAGUGUGCAGUGGAGUAAAAUUGCAUAAUGAGCUCAUCAUUCCACUUGGUGAACUUCCGAGCCACAAACUCAUCAACUCCACAUGCCUUGAAGUUUUCAUAUACACCAGGGAAGUGAUCCUCAUUUUCCUUAAUGAAUUUCCAAUCAACCCAUCUCAUGUCACACACUAUGGGCUUCUUGUCAAGUAAGGCAGCCUCAUAGAAGUCCUGUUGUUCCUUAGUGUGGAAUGUGUAGUCCAUAGUAGUCCUUCUCCUGGUGGCAUAUGGAUCAGACUCUCUCCAUAGCCUCAAUCCUGAAUCCUUCCUGAUUUUCAUGUUCUCUGCAACUGGGUGUGCAUCAUUGUGAUCAGGGAUCUUGGGCUUCAGCUUUCUCAAAAUGACAGAAUCAUCUUCUUCUUCUUCAGCAGCUUGAGGCACUGGGGCCUUGUUCUUCUCCUCAGCAGGGAUGUUCCUAGUGCUCCUCUUGGGUUUUGGUUUUGGAGCUGGAGCAGCAGCCUUGGGAGCAGCUUUGGGCUUAGAUGGAGCAGCCCCUGAUCUGAUUGCAUCUCCCAUGAGCUUUUGAGCUUUGGGUGCUGGUGCAGCAUCCUCUUCCUCUUCCUCUUCAGAAUCUUUCCUCAUUGAGGGCUUCCCAAGAACUCUAGAAGUAGUGGUUCUGGCCCUCUUCUUCUUCUUAUCCUCACCAGCUGCUUCUUCUUCAGAUUCAAUGGUGAACUUCAUAGUUUCACCUGUGGCAACUUUUCUUGGCUUAGACAUGGGCUGUCUUCCUGCUGGCCUCUUUGUUUUCAGACCUGGCUUAGUUGCAGCAGCUGAGCCAUACUCUUUCUUCAGCACUUUCUUCUUUGAAGUGGCUUCAUCUUCAACAGCCACAUAGUCUUCAUCCUCAGAGUCAGAAGUUCUCUUCUUCCUUGACCUGGUGGCAGCUUUUGGCAAGUUGCUUGGAGUGCUCCUGCUGCCUUCAUCAUAGCUGCUAGAGGGACUAGUGCCCUCACUCAACUGAACCUGUUCCUCUGACUUGUUCUGGCUGUCACUUUGGUCAGACAUCUUGCAGGCAAACUGUCAGCAGACCCUGUGAACAGGUUAUAGAUGAGGUAGAGUAGAUGAGCAUCACAAAGCACAGGAGUUUUUGCAAAAUAGAUGACUUAAAAACUUAGUUUUAGUUCUUCAUAGAAAGCAUUUCGGAUCUACCGUUUUGUAAACUCGGUGAUACCGAAGCAGCUUUUGGAACCUGAACUAGUGAACUCGGUCAGACCGAGUCACAGUUCGGUGGCACCGAGACUGCUAGGGUUUCACAGAGAAUUGAACUCGGUCACACCGAUUUGCAAUUUUCGGUCGGACCGAAAAUGCGUGUGCUCUGGCCUAAGCCAAAAUCGGUGAGACCGAUUUCUACAACUCGGUCGGUCCGAGAUGAAUUCGGCGGAGACCUAACCCUAAAUUUUCAAAUCAAAACUAAUCUACGGGACGUUUUCGCUGGACAGGAUGAUUUCAGUUGUGGCAAGAAACAUGGCAAAGCAAUGUGCUAAGAAUUGGAGUUAAAGAUUAGCACAAUGAUAAAGUCCGUACCCUAGUGCGGCGACGAACUUGCUACGUCGGCAACGGCGGAGAUGAUUUCCGUUGACGGCGGCGGAGACCAGCGGCGGGAGGACGCUGGCGACGAGAGGACGAUCCGGAGACCAGAGGAGGCAGAGUAGGUUACGCGCGGGCGAAGGGGUUCGGAGAAAUUUCCAAAUUUUGACCCAGCGGUAUAUAUAACCUGACCCUGUCGGUGUGACCGAGUGGAACGACUCGGUGGCACCGAGAUGCAAAACUGCAAGCAGUUACUGCAACUCGGUGUGACCGAAAUGUUCUAAUCGGUUGCACCGAGAUUGAAAACUCUAGAUCAACUUGGUGACUCGGUAGGACCGAAAAGGAUGAAUCGGUCAGACCGAGGUGCACAAAGAGGUUUGGAGGUUUAAGUCUAUGACGAAUCGGGAUCUCCGAGUGCUCCUCACACAGAGUGGUUCGAAUCUGACUUGAUCAAACUUUGUGAUGUAGCAUGAAUAGAGUUUGAGACGAGAAAAGCAUAGAUAGCUAGAGGGUGUUCUUAGGCAUUCUUGUCCAUCCAUUUGGCAAAAGAGAAAGAGCCAAACAAUCAAAACAACAAAUGGAUGUCCUCGAAUGAGUAAAAUAUGCAACCAACAUGCUCACACAAUAAAAUGGCAAAUGAAAUAUGUGAAAAAGCAUGCACAAACAUUCUAGCAUCUAUCAAGCAAUUGGCGAUGACUAGGUCAUCUAUAUAUGAGUAUAUUGACUUAGGAGUCAAAUGAGAACAUUUGAUCAUAGGUCAUACUCAUCGUUUAAGCACAAGUGGGGUUACCACUUUUACAUAAAGAAUUGUUGUGUUCACACCAUUAGAGUUGCUUUAGCUCAUUGAUUUGAGUAAAGCUCCCCCUAGAUGUGAUAUUCCCCCUAAAGGGAAUGAACUAACCUUGGGUUUUGUCGAUGAUGACUUCAUGUAGGUGUUGAAGAUGUAGAUGCUCAAUGUUGAUGUAGAUCAUUUGGAGCAAUCCUUUGGAGUGAGUUGCGCUUUCAAUACCUUGUCCCUUGUCUUACCAACAAGAGGGUUUGUGACUCCUUGAACUAGUGCAAGAUAUGGAAGUUGUUUGCACUUGUCCUUGCCAAAAUGAUAGGAGUGAAGUAUGUUGGCGGAGUCACCCUCAAGAACUCUCUAGUUCUUCUUCUUCUGGAUCCACACCAUCUUGAUGGGAACCCUUGGAGUCGUAGUUGUACUUGAUGAAGUGGAACUUGAUGUAGUCUUGGGAACCCACUUGACAAAGGCCUUAGGUGCUUCUUCAAAUGCAUCAAUUUCCUCUUGAAGCUUAUCCUUGCAUUUUUGCUUGUGGUCUUGUGGUGGAAGAUCAUCUUGAGCUUGUGUUCCUUUGAGAGAAGUAGGAUCAUACUUCUCUUGUUGAGGAACAAACUUCGUCUUGGGGUAUUGAUCUUCUUCCCACUCAACUCCAUUGGCAUCGAACUUCCGUUCAAAACCAACACCUUGAUUCUUCCGGUGUCUUCCUUGCUUGCGCACAAUUUCCUCAAAAUGCUUACUUCCGGCAAGACUCUUGUAAACACCUUUCUCUAUGAUUCCCUUCAAUAAGCUAUUUUCUUGCUCAAGUGUAACUAGGCUAAGAGAAUCAUUAGUGGAAUCAAGAGAACUACUAGAAGCAUCAACAUUGGAUUUAGCAUGAUUGUUGUUACUACUAGAUGAAGAAUCUUUCUUGUUCUUGUUGCUAGAUUUAACUUGUGGCAUGUAAGUAGACAAGAGUAAACGCUUGGCAAUGUAAGAAGAACUUUUCUUGCGAAGAUCAUCAUUGAUUGCCUUUAAAAACUCAUGCUCUUGCUCAAGGUUGAGCUUUUCAAAGCGUAGCUUAUCAUGAGUCUUUAAAAGUUCUCGAUGAUUUUCCAAGGUAGUUUCAUGAGCUAACUUAAGAGUGUUUAGUUCUUGAGUUAGACGCUCAAUCUCCUUCUUAUCUUCAUCAUUCGUUUUAUCUUGAUUAGCAUGUUUAAUUGACGUUUCAUCAUAGUUUUCUCACUAGAGUUGUCAACAAGUAAAUCAUCAUCACCUAGCAAAUCAUCUUCAUCACUAUUGAAAUCAGAAUACUCGGGAUGUGUUACCUUUGGACCUUUGGCCAUGAAGCAUCUUCCAAUUCCUUCAUUUGGUGAGUCAAAUAUAUCAUAGGAGUUGGUUGUCACAACUGUUAGACCGGGAACACCUUCAUCUUGAGUAUAUUCGGAGUCGGAGUGAUAACUUCUUUCGGAGUGAUUGUCGGAGUCGGAGCCGGAUACCCAUUCACCAACAUGAGCUUGAUGUCUUCUUUUUGUGUAGCUCCUUGAUGACUUUUCCUUUCUUUCCAAAUCCUUGCUUCUCCGAGAGGGUCUUUGUCCAUAACGAUCAUCUCUACUCCUCCUUUCUCUCGGUGGUGAUUAUUCUCUUCUACUUCUUCUUUUGGGAGAAUCUUCUCUUCUUUUGUAGGGGGCCGUACACUCAUUGGAGUAGUGUCCGGGUCUUCCACAAUUGUAGCACUUACGCUCACGACUAGAAGAUCUUUUGUCAUUGUAGGACCUUGACUUGGAACCUAUUUCUUUGCUUCUACUUUUGUAGAACUUGUUGAAGUUCUUCACCAUUAAGCUCAAUUCUUCAUUGAAGGUUUGUUUCUCACUUGAAGAUGUGGGAGUAUCACAUGAGGCUUUGUAAGCACCACUUGACUUGUUGUGAAGCUCUUCCUUAUCCUUGAGUGACAUCUCAUGAGCAACAAUUCUUCCAUUGACUUCCGUUGGCUUGAGAUCUUUGUAACUGGGCAUCAUUUGGAUCAAUGUGCACACGGUAUCAUAUUUUCCAUCCAAGGCUCUUAGGAUCUUCUUGAUGAUGAAUUUGUCGGUCAUCUCUUCACUUCCUAAGCUGGCAAUCUCAUUUGUGAUGAGAGCAAGCCUAGAGUACAUUUCAGCGAUACCUUCACCAUCCUUCAUUUUGAACUUGUCAAGUUGACUUUGAAGCACAUCCAAUUUGGAUUCCUUGACGGAGUCGGUACCUUCGUGCAUAUCAAUCAAAGUAUCCCAAAUUUCCUUUGCAUUCUCAAGACGGCUGAUUUUGUUGAAUUCUUCGGGGCACAAUCCGUUGAAGAGAAUAUCACAAGCUUGAGCAUUGUAUUGUAGCAUCUUCAACUCUUCCGCGGUAGCUUCAUGGUUCGGUUCUCUCCCAUCAAAGAAUUCACCUUGCAAGCCAAUACACACAAUAGCCCAAACGGCGGGGUUAUGUCCAAGAAUAUGCAUUUUUAUCUUAUGCUUCCAACUAGCAAAAUUAGUGCCAUCAAAGUAAGGACCUCUACGGUGGUAAUUUCCCUCGCUAGACGCCAUACUCUCCUAGGUUGUGAAACCAAGGCUAUGACCACCAAAAGCUAUGGAAAUCAAAGCAAAUGGAGACCAAAGCUCUGAUACCACUUGUAGGAUCGGAAGUAUGUCUAGAGGGGGUGAUUAGACUACUUGACCAAAUAAAAAUCUAGCAUUUUCCCAAUUUUAGUUCUUGGCAGAUUUUAGCAACUUAGCACAAGUCAAGCAAUCAACCUACACAUGCAAUUCUAAGAGUAUAGCAGCGGAAAGGUAAAGCAAUUGCAUAUGAAGGUAAAGGGAUGAGUUUGAGGGAGCAAACGCAAUGUUGACACGGAGAUUUUUUAUCCGUGGUUCCGAUAGGUGGUGCUAUCGUACAUCCACGUUGAUGGAGACUUCAACCCACGAAGGGUAACGGUUGCGCGAGUCCACGGAGGGCUCCACCCACGAAGGGUCCACGAAGAAGCAACCUUGUCUAUCCCACCAUGGCCGUCGCCUACGAAGGACUUCCCUCACUAGGGUAGAUCUUCACGAAGUAGGCGAUCUCCUUGCCCUUACAAACUCCUUGGUUCAACUCCACAAUCUUGUCGAAGGCUCCCAAGUGACACCUAGCCAAUCUAGGAGACACCACUCUCCAAGAAGUAACAAAUGGUGUGUUGAUGAUGAACUCCUUGCUCUUGUGCUUCAAAUGAUAGUCUCCCCAACACUCAACUCUCUCUCAUAGGAUUGGAUUUGGUAGAAAGAAGAUUUGAGUGGAAAGCAACUUGGGGAAGGCUAGAGAUCAAGAUUUAUAUGGUUGGAAUGGAAUAUCUUGAACUCAACACAAGUGUAGGUGGUUCUCUCUCAGAAAAUAUGUAUUGGAAGUGUAGGCAUGUUCUGAUGGCUCUCUCCACGAAUGAAGAGUGGGUGGAGGGGUAUAUAUAGCCUCCACACAAAAUCUAACCAUUACACACAAAUCACCAAACUCGGUGGGAGCGAUUCAAAGAACUCGGUCAGACCGAUUUGGUUCAUAAUGUGAACGUUAGGAUUCUCGGUGGGACCGACAUGUCAACUCGGUGGGACCGAUGUCAUUAGAGUUAGGGCAUAACGUAAUCUCGGUGAGACCGAUUACACAAACUCGGCGAGUCCGAUUUUGGUAAUAGCCAAACAGAGAGUUGGUCAGGCAAACUCGGUGGGACUGAUUCGCUCAUCUCGGUUGGACCGAAACGUUACGAAAGGGAAAAGAGAGUUUGCAUUGCAAUCUCGGUGGGACCGAUCGCUCAUCUCGGUUUGACCGAAACGUUACGAAGGGAAACAGAGAGUUUGCAACCCCAUCUCGGUGAGACCGAGAUCCCUAUCGGUGAGACCGAAUUGAUUAGGGUUUCUGGCAGUGGCUAUGUCAACUGAACUCGGUGGCUCCGGAUGGACAGAAUCGGUAGGGCCGAGUUGGACUUUUUGGUCUAGGACAUAUGUGGAUAUGAGAAAGUAGUGGAGGGUUUUGGAGCAUAUCACUAAGCAUUUUGAGCGAGAAUCUCAUUAAGCAACACCUCAUCCCUUCUUAAAAGUAUUGGCUUUUCCUAUAGACUCAAUGUGAUCUUGGAUCACUAAAAUGAAAAAUGUAGACUCUUGUGCUUUGAGCUUGAGCCAAUGUUUUGACCUUAGCAUUUUGAAGGGUCCACUUCCUAAUCGAUGCCAUGCCAAACAUUGAGCUUUCCUGAAAUAUUUAUCUUGGAAUAGCAUUAGCUCAAUGAGCUAUAUGUUGUUAGGAAUUACCAAAACCACCCAGGGAUAGUUGCACUUUCACUAUGGUCUUAAACAGGCCCCUCGCGCCUGGUUCGAGCGCUUCGCCUCUGUGGUGACUACCGCUGGUUUCUUGCCAGUGAUCAUGAUCCCGCGUUGUUUGUUCACACGUCUCCUCGUGGUCGGACUCUUCUCCUUCUCUAUGUUGAUGACAUGAUCAUCACUGGUGACGACUCUGACUACAGUGCCUUUGUUAAGGCCCGCCUUCGCGACCAGUUCCUCAUGACUGAUCUUGGUCCACUUCAAUAUUUUCUUUGGAUUGAGAUCUCCUCGACCUCUGAUGGCUUCUACAUCUCCCAGGAAAAAUACAUUCAGGAUCUUCUUGCUCGUGCUACUCUUGGUGAUGAGCGCACUGUUGUGACUCCUAUGGAGCUCAACGUUCAGCUUCGUGCCUCUGACGGUGACCCUCUUCCUAAUCCUACUCGCUAUCGCCACCUCGUUGGCAGCCUUGUCUACCUUGUUGUUACGCGUUCCGACAUCUCCUAUCAUGUUCAUAUACUGAGUCAGUUUGUUUCAGCACCCACCUCUGUCCACUAUAGUCAUCUCCUCCGUGUUCUCCGAUAUCUUCGUGGCACUUUCUCUCAUCGCCUUUUCUUUCCCCGCUCAAGCUCUCUUGAGCUCCAGGCCUACUCUGAUGCUACAUGGGCUAGUGAUCCCUCUGAUCGACGCUCGCCGUCUGCAUACUGUGUCUUUCUUGGUGGCUCUCUCAUUGCCUGGAAGACAAAGAAAUAGACUAACGUUUCUCGCUUGAGUACAGAGGCUGAGUUGCGAGCCAUGGCUAUGUUGACGGCUGAGGUGAUUUGGUUACGGUGGUUAUUUGAGGAUUUUGGAGUGCCUGCUACUACCUCGACUCCCUUACUGUCAGAACCGGUGCUAUCAGUAUUGCGCGUGACCCGGUGAAGCAUGAGCUCACCAAGCACAUCGGUGUGGAUGCCCACUUUGUGCGUGCUGCUGUGCAUGAUCAGACUCUUGCUCUUCACUAUGUUCCCUCUGAGUUAUAGUUGGCGGACUUCUUCACGAAGGCACAGACUCGAGUGCGGCAUGGUUUUCUUCUCUCCAAACUCAGUGUUGUUGAUCCACCAUGAGUUUGAGGGGGGUGUUAGAUGUGUAUAGUCCCUUUUUGGUUCUUCCCCAUUGUAUAAGGGGUUUCCUGCACUUCACCACACAUGUAUAUGUAAUGGCAUUUGGCCUUCAGUGAAUAUUAAUUGUUGUUUAUCCAACAACAUUCACGCCAAUCAUAAAACAGUGUUUGUUAGUAGUGGAGUGGUAGGCGGACGCAAAUCAAACCAUCAUUUUUCUUCUAAUUACACUUGUAAAAGCAUCGAUGCAUCUCCGUCGCUUAAUUUUAUUUGUCAUUCUGUUCAGUACCUGGUUUGGUUCAGGAAGAGCUCUUUUUCCUAUGCAAAAUGUAUAACGUAUAUGCUCCUAAUUCUGAUUGCAGACAUAUUCAUCGCGCUAGUGUUUUGACAUGACGCGGGGAACCAAGAGCCGUUCAACAGCGCGUUUCUGGGAUACGCCACCGGUCUGGCACUAAAGGUAGCGGUGAUGAUCUGGUUUCAAGCCGCGCUGCUAAUAUAUCAUGGCAUCUUGCAGCCUGCUCUGUUGCACAUCGUUCCUGGCGCAUGACUGGUUUGGUCGCCGUUCACUCUCCGUGGAAUGGAGAGGUGAAAGCGGGCAAGUAAGCCUGUCUACUUUGUCCCUUUUGUGUAGUGCUGGGAUCAGAGAAAAUAACUGGCAAUCUGGAUCAGCCUGGUUUUGAGACGCGACUUGUUUGCCACUGACUGUUUUGCGUUGGCAGUUACUGCAGUUGGAGUGGGAAGCUGGAGAGGAGGAAGAAGACGAAGGUCCCAACCGGCAGAGCAAAAAGGUGAACCAGCCCUCGCCUUUUUAAUUACUAGGAGAAAGAAACAUUGAGGCAGUAAUUUCUUCAGGCAAGAUCGAUUGGCAGCUAAUUAAGUAGGCUGGAUGGCAUUGAGAAACCCAAAAACGAUUUACAUACACAUGGUAGAUCGUCUCUCUCUCUCCUUCCACCCCUUCCUUUCAUGGCCAUCGUAGACUGCACCAUGUGGCAUUCAAACUUUUCUCAAGGGGAGAGUUUCCUCACACACACACACAUGCACAUACGCAAGCACACGCACACACGUGUAGUACAAACUUAGAAUUUUUGGAAAUAAUGGGAGGCCGAGCAACGGCCAUGUGAAAAUAUGAGGUAUAUAGCUUGUGGAUUUCCAUUCAGUGUACAAGGCCUGCAUGAGGAAUGGAUAAAGAAAUAUAUCUUUGAUUCCCUUAGUUAAAUCUUAUCCUUCAUCGUCAAUUAUGACUAAGCAUACAUAGUAAUCGCUAGUUUCUCUUAUAUGCUUCCGAGAAGAUAAGACUGGAUAUUUUAGUUGCUAUUAAUUAUUUCCCUUCUUUCGCUAAAUAGUAGUCAAACAUGUUAUUAAUGUAUUUUGUAAGGAUAAGGUCGAGCAUCAUGGCCACUAUGUUCUAUAUAUACUGAAUUUGGUGUUCAGUAUGACAUAACAAACACAUAUUGUGAGAAGGAGUAGUGUACAUUGUUCUCUAGUGCACUUUGUUCAGCAAGUUGGGUGAAAAUGUUGAAUAAACCAUCAAGUUUUCAUACAUUUUUUCAUGGCACAGGUUUGCCUUCUCAUGAUGAUGGCUGCACCGUUUGCACAAGCUGCUGGGAGGCCUGUGGCAUCCUUACCAUGGGUAGCGGGGUGUUGCCUGAGGAACUAUUUGUGUUGUGGUGUUGGUGCUGUUGCCCCGACAUCCCAUGCAUCGCAGGCCACCUCUGUACCUUGAAUUAUGGUUUCGCCUGAUCUCCUCUCAUAACAUAGUUGAUAUAACAUAGUAGCAUCACAAAGGUUGCAUGGUUUCAUUGAUUCAUCUCUUUUCUACUCCGUGAAACUUGUGAUGCCACUUUUGAACAAUGUCAUUGCUAUGUCUUCUUAUAACUAAUAAAAUGGGAGGAUAUUUUCAUAUUAUUUGAAUUGUGUUGUAACAUUACCUACUAAUGUGGAUGAUCUGAGUGGACUACAUAGAUCGGAUCUUCUAAAGAUAUAAUCUAGGACUUUGCGAGAUGAUGAAAUUGUCCUUUAUCUUGGUCGACACCUUUUCGUAGAAGUGUUGGUCGGCCGUCUGUGUCUUUUUGCGGUGCAUGCCGUAGAGUCCUCCAUGUUUUGUAGUUGUACAAUAACCUUUGAGGCAACCGGGGGUGGUACGUCUGAGGAAGUCGGUGGCCCAGGAAUAUUCAUAAUGAGAUCUCGACCAUGGAUGCCAAGUAAUUUGCCCCGUGCUGAUGUCGUCGGGCGACCCGGUCACUUAUGUUUUGACUCAAGGAGUCGCUAUGUUCAUCGAGUCGCGAGACAGCGGGAGGAAGGAGACGAAGGUCCCAAACGUCAGACCAAAAAGGUGGACUAGGGCUCGCCCUAGUUGUGCUCUCGGGUAUUUUCAGUUACUAGUAGGAGUAAGAAGCAUUGCAAAUUGCUCCCUCUGUUCAAUCCGUAUAUAUGUAGUCCGUAUUCAUAUAUUCAAAAUAUUUUAUAUUUGUGAACGAAGGGAGUAAUUAAUAGUAAUGCAACAAUUUCAGGGGAGGCCAGUCAACAGCUAACUAAAUGUGCUGGAUGAGACUGGAGACAUGUAUAAACGAUUUACACAUGAUAGAACUACUCUUUUCUUGUCAAGGAAUGGAAGAAUGGAUGAUUUUAUCCGUUCGGAACAAAACCCAAUAUUCAUCCAGUUAGACGUUGUUCUGAAUUCUGAAGCUUUUGAAAGUUUUCUCGCAGAAAUAUGUGUGUGUAUUCCAGUUGUAUCAUUAGCAAACCAAGGUUGUAUAUAUUAUAGCACAAAGAAUGUUUGGUUGAUUCGUUCAGGCGAAUCAGGUUUGUGGCUGACUGCCAAAGUCAGGCCAACUCCAGCGCACGACCCCAAACAGACAUCUGUUUUGUCUGGAUUCUGCCCGUUUGGAUAUAGCAAUGGGGUCGUGUCCAGGCCUGUCCUGUGAUGCGGUCGCCGUGCGCACAACGCGCGGACGCAUCCUUUGGCCUCAUCAUGUCCGCCACGGCCAAAAAUGCCCAUAUAUUCAUAUUUCAAUAUUCAAAACUAGUUUGCACGUCCAAAUAUUAAUUGUCUGAAAAUAAAAAUAGUUUUACAACCCAAUCAAAAUUGUCUCUAAUAAAAUAGUUUUACAACCAAAUCGAAAUUGUCUUGAAUGAACAUAAUGAAACCAAUACAUCUAUUGGUUGCCAAUGUGAUUCCACAUGUGCUCAACCAAGUCAUUUUGAAGAUCCAAAUGAGUGUGCCAAUCAUGCAUUUCACGAUGACAUUGGGCAAACUGCUCAAACGUGGCCGGUUCUUGGUGCAGGGGCUGAACAUUUUCACCUUGAAAAUCAAAUCCUUGGUCGAAGAUGCUGUUAUCACGCUCGUCCUCGACGAUUAUGUUGUGCAUGAUCACACAAGCAGUCAUCACCUCCCGAAGCUUCCCUUCAUCCCAUGUCAAUGCAGGGUUUCGAACGAUACCCCAUCGGGAUUGAAGCAAACCAAAAGCACGUUCCACAUCCUUUCUAGCACUCUCUUGCAUUUGGGUAAAUCUCUUUCUCUUCUCACCUUGGGGGUUCGAGAUUGUCUUCACAAAAAGUUGACCACUGAGGAUAUAUACCAUCAGCUAGGUAGUAUCCCUUGUUGUACUGGUGGCCGUUGAUCUCAAAGUUGCCAGGUGGGGAGUGGCCUUCUGCAAGCCUUGCGAAGACUGGAGAACGCGGCAGCACGUUGAUAUCAUUGUGAGAACCUGCCAUGUCGAAGAAAGAAUGCCACAUCCAAAGAUCUUGCGAAGCCACCGCUUCUAAUAUGAUAGUGCAUGCUUUAACAUGCCCCUUGUACUGGCCCUGCCAAGAAAAUGGACAGUUCUUCCACUCCCAGUGCAUACAAUCUAUGCUACCAAGCAUGCCUGGAAAGCCUCUAGCCGCGUUGGUCGCCAACAAGCUUUCUAUAUCAGUGGCAUUUGGCUGCUGAGGGAGUCCUGGAUUAAGGGGUCCUCGGGCGUUUGGGCUGCGUAACAUGGGCCGGACUAAUGGGCCGUGAAGNNNNNNNNNNNNNNNNNNNNNNNNNNNNNNNNNNNNNNNNNNNNNNNNNNNNNNNNNNNNNNNNNNNNNNNNNNNNNNNNNNNNNNNNNNNNNNNNNNNNNNNNNNNNNNNNNNNNNNNNNNNNNNNNNNNNNNNNNNNNNNNNNNNNNNNNNNNNNNNNNNNNNNNNNNNNNNNNNNNNNNNNNNNNNNNNNNNNNNNNNNNNNNNNNNNNNNNNNNNNNNNNNNNNNNNNNNNNNNNNNNNNNNNNNNNNNNNNNNNNNNNNNNNNNNNNNNNNNNNNNNNNNNNNNNNNNNNNNNNNNNGAUUCCUUUCCCUGUAAACCGACUCUGUACAACCCUAGCCUUCUCCGAUGUCUAUAUAAACCGGAGGGUUUAGUCCGUAGAGGCAAGGAUAAUCAUACAGGCUAGACAUAUAGGGUUUAGCCAUUACGAUCUCGAGGUAGAUCAACUCUUGUAAUCCCUAUACUCAUCAAAGUCAAUCAAGCAGGAAGUAGGGUAUUACCUCCAUUAAGAGGGCCCGAACCUGGGUAAACAUCGUGUCCCCUGCCUCCUAUUACCCUCUAUCCUUAGACGCACAGUUCGGGCCCCCCUAUCCGAGAUCCGCCGGUUUUGACACCGACAGCUGCCUCAAGUACUCAGGGCCAAACACUGCCACCACAGCCUUGUAGAACUUGUAAAGUGACAACAGACAUGCCGACUCACUCAUGCGCACGUACUCAUCCACCAGAUCGCCUGGAAUUCCAUAUGCAAGCAUGCCGAUGGCCGCGGUGCACUUCUGGUAAGAGGAGAAUCCAAGCUUGCCAAGGGCAUCCGUCUUGCACUCGAAGUAUGGGUCAUGAGCAACCACUCCCUCUCGGAUACGAUUGAACAGAUGUCUUGCCAUACGAAAACGGCGACGGAAUUUAUCCGGCUUGAAGAGCGAGGUAUUCGCAAAGUAAUCGGCAUAGAGCAAGGCGUGGCCUCUCUCUCUAUUGCGUUUCAGGUUGGGAGCACGGCCAGGGACUGACCCCAUGUACCGAGGAAGCUGCCCAAUGUGAUCGUGAACGACCAGUGCAACCACCACCAGAUCUUCGUCAUCCGAGGACGAAUCAUCCAAUGAAUAAAUGAAGUGGUGGAAGAAAAAUUCAUCUCCACUGUCCAUACAUUUGUGGGCAAAGUGUUCAACACCUUGCGGUCGUGGUGGCAAAGAGGCCGCGAUGAUCAUCUCGAUGCAGCAGGGGUGGUUGGCGGCCGGCUACUGGCCGCUCUAGAGCACCCGGCGGAAGCUGCCGUGGUCCAUAUCCGUCGCCGGUGGUCGUAUCCCCUCUAGCACCGGCUACAAUGGCGACGGCCAAAUCUCCUCCAAGCGAUGGCCAGAACUCCUACGAAAGCGCGGGCGUUGUGGCGGCCAUGUCGAGACGUGGUUUGGUAUGGAUGGGCAGGGGGAGGGAGCAGUGAGGAGGCGGUCGGAGAAUACUGGCGGCGCCGGUGGCGGGAUGCGGCGGAGGAGAGCGGGUGAAGGCGUUGGAGGCAAAUGGAGUGCUAGUGUCCCCGACAGGCGGGCCACGGGGAGGACAAGGGCGUGUGUCCAGCCCGUCCGCGUGAUGUCCAUUUCACCCCAAACUCGGCACAAGUUUGGGCCGGGAAUGGGUAAAAAACGGACGAAAUCCGGACAUUUGUCUAUUUGAAGCCGCGCCUUGAGUCAUGCUAUUCGUCUGUUCUACCCUAAACGGACGCACCAGAACGGAAUGGGGUCGCGUGCUGGAGUUGGCCUCACGGCCGUUUCUGCCUUUGGCGCAGACAAGAGAUUCUACACUGUAAAGGAAAAAGCUGAAAGCUCUCUUGUCUCGUGUGUUUCUCUUCUCUUGCACCUUGUCGGAAAACAGUGUGCACCAGGGACGCUCGAUUCCAUGGCAGGCAUCAGUUCAAUCGAUCAUGCUACAGGGAACCGGCACUAUCUUCUUUUUCUUUUUCUUUUUCUUUUAGGUCGUGAACGCAAGUCAUUUGAGAUAUUCACGUAGGACUUACAUAAUUGGUACGUUGUGACAAAACUGGACGCACACGAUGAAAUAUAUAAAUAUUCCUAUGGUAGAUUUAUCAGCAUCAGUGUGGAGCUAAAGUGUUUGAUGUUUUGUAUGAAUGGUUUGGUCUGAACAAUAAAGCCGACCACUCAGGACCUACUUUUGGGCUUUUUUUUUUGUAUUAUUCUAUACUAGCAAAAGGGCCCGUGCGCGGAGAAAAAAAUUAUAAUCUUGAAUGACCAUGAUCACAUUUUUUUUCAUCACCGAGAUACACUAUCACUUUCAACUUCGGGAAAUCAUCUACAUUUUUUAAACUUGUGCACAUUUUUCACAUUCAUGAACACUUUUACAAAUUUGCAAACAUAUUCUAAAAUCAAGAACAUAUUUUGAAUUCAUGAACAUUUUAUAGUAUUUACAAACAUUUUUAGAAAUUACGUUUUUUUAACAAUUUUCUUGAAUAGGCAAACAAUUCUAAAAUGGACGAACAUUGUUUUAGAAAUCGGUGGAAUAAUUUUUGAAAUUCCCGAACAUUUUCUUGAUUUUACAAACAUUUUUUGAAAUGCAUGAUCAUUUUUGUAUAAACUAUUUUGUAUGUCACGAACAGUUUUCCAAAUAUUUGGUUAUUUCCCCAUUCAUGAACAUUUUUUGAAUGGUGAUAUUUUCUUAAAUUUCAUUAACAUUUUUUGUACACGAAUUUUUAAAAAGUCAUGGACGUAUUUUGGUUUCAUGAACAUUUGUUUUCAAAAUUUCAAACAUUUUUCGAGCCAGAUUCUUUAAUAAAAUUGCAAAUAUUUUUUGAAUACAUAAACAUUUUAUGAUUUAUUAAAACUUUAUUUGGAAAUUAUUUUAAUUUUGAAAUAUUUUUUGUAUUCUGAAUUUAAUUAAAGUAGAAAAACGGAAAAAGAUAAAAAAGGAAAUGUUAAAAACAGGCUGCCCGGACAUGGGCCGGCCCAAAUGGGCGGGCCGCGCCUUAUCCCUUCGCGCAGAGCCCAGUAUGGCAGGUCGCUACUACAUGGGCCAGUCCAGACGGGGAUUCCCCUGUGUGAAACAUUUAUAUCACUUAUACGUGACAUUUGGAUCCCCUCUAGUUAGGGUUUUCUCUCCUCCCGGCGGCGCCUGGCACCGACGUGGAGACCGCGAUCCCCUGCGUCUCCUAGACCACUGAUCGCCGGCGGCUUCGGACGUCGGGCUCGUGUGCGCGCUGGGCGAUCUGUCUAGGGUUCUCCCGCCCGCGGAAACCGACUUCUCGGGCAAGAGAUCUGAUGGAAGGCUCAACGUCGGCGUCAGCCGCAGCGAUGAGCGACAUGGAAGCUAUGAUGAAGGAAUUGGGCCUGAAAGAAGAUGAUCUGGAGGAUGUUGUGGUUCAGGAUGGCGACAUACCAGAGGAAGCGGCGCGGUGGAUGGUGAUCCUGCGGGUGCACAUGGAUAAGCCGUACAGUCAGUAUUGGUUUUUUCGUAACAUGCGGGUUGCAUGGGAUCUAGCACAAGAAGUCAAGUUCCGCCCUCUAGAAGACAACCUCUAUACUCUGCAAUUCUCCUACCUGGGUGAUUGGGAGAGAGUCAUGGAGGACGGCCCCUGGACAUACAAAGGAAAAGCUGUCGUAAUCGAGCCCUAUGAUGGUUUCACCAGAUCAUCGUCUAUUGUUCUUAACAAGAUUGAGAUGUGGAUCCAGAUCCAUGAUCUCCCUGAACUGUUCUUCCAGUUGAUUAAAUCGCUAGCAUCUACUGUUGGUGACUUCAUAUUUGCUGAGCCCAAAUCCCAGGACUUUGAGGGGAACUUUUUUAGGGUUCGAGUGAAAGUGGAUGUCACAAAGCCGCUCAAGAACGCUGUAUCGCUGGUGAUCAAGAAGAGGAGAGAGAUAUUCAGGGUGAAAUAUGAGAGGCUUCCAGAUUGGUGUGCUGUCUGUGGUAUGCUAGGUCAUCAGUUCAAAGAGUGUGGCGAUGGGAUCCAUCCCCAAUCUGCGCUUGUGUUCAAAAAUCUGAAAGCUGACUGGUUCAGGAGCCCAGGCCGUGGACCAGGUGCUGCAAGAGGCUUUGAAGGUGGUCGAGGGAGAGGUAAUGGUCGUGCAGGUCAUGGAGGCCGGGGCUCGGGUUGAACACAACAAGAUAACUUUGACCAGGCUGUUGAUCUGGAUACAGACAUGGAAGAAGGAGACGGGAACCGCAAGAGAGGAGCUCAUGCAAACACACUCUUGCUUACUUCUUCAGGGACCAACCCAUCAUCUUCGAUGGAACCCCAAGCCCUCGCUACAGCCACCGUUCCACAGAGUCCCUCGUCGAAGCAAGACCUCAAAAGAACAAAGACCAACCCCCGUCAGUUGGAGAAGAACCCAGGGAAGAACAAGUCCUCAAACACCCAAAACAAUGCGCAAAUGGCGAGCCCUAUCAACUGGUCGCGCCUGGCGCAAUGAGUUGCCUAGUUUGGAACUGUCGCGGGGCUGGCAGACCUGCGACAGUUCGUGAGCUUCGAGAUCUAUCGAAGCUACUUGCCCCCUCUAUUGUAUGCAUUCUUGAAACCCAGAUAGAGGGCUCGCGUGUCGAGAAUCUGGUAGGAACUUUAGGUUAUAAUAAAAGCUUUGCUGUAAGCAGCUCCGGCAGGAGCAGUGGACUAGGCAUUUUUUGGAAUGAGGAAAUAAAACUCGAAGUUAUCGGUUAUUCUGAGUACCACAUAGAUGUUCUUGUUGAGCAGAUGGUAGAAACUAAAACCAGAAUCACCUUUGUGUAUGGUGAGGCCCAAACAAGUGCAAGGUACAAAACUUGGGACAUGUUGCGCGGAAUUGCUGGAACUAGCAACGACCCAUGGGUAGUGAUUGGAGACUUUAACGAAGUACUUCAUGCCCAUGAGCAUGAUGGAACCGGCCAACGAAGCCAGGCGCAGAUGGACGCCUUCUGAGAUGCUAUUGACAAAUGCGGCUUAUCAGAUAUUGGUUAUAAGGGGCAAAGCUGGACUUUUGAAAAGAAGGUGAUGGGCGGUACGUACACCAGGGUGCGCUUGGACCGGAGCGUGGCUAAUCCUGCAUGGGCUUUGGCCUUCCCAGAUGCAUCCCUUGAGCAUCUCACCGCAGCUACUUCUGAUCAUGUCCCGUUGUUGCUUCGGCUUCAAGCAAUGCAUGCAUGCAGAAGGGGACCACGGCCGUUUAAAUACGAGUUGUGUUGGGAGCGCGACCCAACACUGGAGACAAUGGUGCAUGCGGGGUGGAAUCAGCAUCCUGGGGAUUCGGUGGACCAGGUGAAGGCUAAACUCCAAACACUGUCGGGCGACCUGUCGACGUGGGAUCGGCAACAUUUUGGAAGCGUGUGCAGAGAGAUAGCCGAAUUAAAAAAAGGAACUACAGGUGUUGCGAGAAUUUCCAGGAAGAUCUGGCCCCUCUCGACGGGAGACAAAAAUCUGCGACCGCCUGGUUGAAUUGUUUCAUCGCGAGGAGAUCUUGUGGAGGCAGCGAGCUAGGAUUGAUUGGCUCAUGCAUGGCGACAAAAAUACUUAUUUCUUCCACAUGAGAGUGAGUAGGCGUCGACGGAAAAACCAAAUUAAAUCCUUGCAAUGAGCUGACGGGCAGGUAACGGAGAAUGAACUGGAGAUGGAAAACAUGACGAUCUCCUUUUACAAGGACUUGUACACGACAGAAGGGGUUGGUGAUAUGGCACAGGUGCUAGAAACAGUACCAUGCAAGGUUACGCAUGCAAUGAACGCCUCGUUGAAUGCCCCAUAUAGCCCGGAAGAAGUCAAGACUGCCCUUUUUCAAAUGUUUCCCACCAAGGCACCGGGACCAGAUGGCUUUCCCGCUCACUUCUUUCAGAGGCACUGGGAGACGUGCGGAGACGAAAUCACCAAAGUCGUUCUUAAAAUUGUUGAGGGCACAGAAUCUGCAGCAUGUAUCAAUGAGACAGUCUUGGUGCUAAUCCCUAAGGUAAAAAACCCAACCCUCUUGAGCCAGUUCCGACCCAUCAGCUUAUGUAAUGUUCUUUACAAAAUAGCGUCCAAAGUGAUCUCUAACAGGCUGAAGGUGAUACUACCUGACAUUAUAUCUGAGGAACAAUCUGCCUUUGUCCCUGGUAGACUUAUAACUGACAACAUCAUCACUGCCUACGAGUUCCUACACUUUAUGAAAAGAAAUAAAGCUAAAAAGCACCAGUCGUUUGCUCUGAAGCUAGACAUGAUGAAGGCUUAUGACAGGGUGGAGUGGCUAUACCUGAAAGCAAUCAUGGUGAAACUAGGGUUCACUGAGAGAUGGGUGGACAUAGUUAUGGGACUGGUUACCACUGUUAAGUUUUCUGUCAUGUUUAAUGGGAAAAGAUUGGAGGAAUUCGAACCUUCACGAGGAAUUAGACAAGGGGACUCAAUAUCUCCGUACUUGUUCUUAAUAGCAGCAGAGGCCCUGUCGUGCCUGUUAAAAUCAAAGAGUGAGUCAUCCAAUCUGGGUGGUGUGCAAUGGCUCCUACGGCGCCGCCAGUUAGCCAUCUAUUAUUCGCUGAUGACAGCCUACUGUUCUGUAAGGCAAAUUGUGCGGGAGCUAAUGAGGUGAACCUAGUACUGAAUACAUACUGCCAAGCAUCCGGUCAGCGAGUAGCAAGGGAGUGCCGGAAGCUACGAGGACAGAAAUAAAAGGUUUACUCAAUAUUCCCAAUGAAACUUUAAAUGAGAAGUAUCUAGGGAUGCCGUCAGAUAUUGGGAGUUCGAAGAACGGGGCCUUCAAAUACGUCAAGGAUCAUUUAUGGAGUAAGGUACAGGGCUGGGUGGAAAACACCAUGUCAUCCGCAGGCAAGGAGGUUUUGGUGAAAUCAGUUGCCCAGUCCAUACCUAUAUUCUCAAUGUCAUGCUUUAAACAUCCAAGGGGAUUAUGUGAACACCUUAAUAUGCUUAUUAGGAAGUUCUGGUGGGGGAGCAAAGAUGGCAAAAGGAAACCUCACUGGGUAUCUUGGAAAAGUAUGACACAGCCGAAGGGAAUGGGAGGACUAGGGUUCAAAGAUUUUGAACUCUUUAAUAUGGCGAUGCUGGCAAGACAGGCUUGGAGAUUAAUCCAAACACCAGAGUCCCACGCUUGUUGAAGAGCAUAUACUUCCCUGAUUCUACCGUCUUGGAGGCGACCUUGUGCAACCAUCCCAAUCAGAUAUGGCGAGCCAUCAUCGAAGGCAGAGAUACACUCAAACAAGGUCUCAUUCGUAGAAUUGCCAAUGGUCAAUCUACUCGUAUUUGGGAGGAUCCGUGGCUGCCAAGAGAUGAGAUGUUACGGCCAUAUGGGAGCAUUCACCCCAAUCCGCCAACCUUGGUUUCGGAACUGAUCGAUCACACUAGCGCUUCAUGGAACAGUCAGCUAAUCAACCAAGUGUUUAUGCCCAUGGAUGCUUGUACCAUUAUGGGGAUCCCGGUGUGCACUCGCAAUCUCCAUGACUUCUGGAGCUGGAUCUUUGAAACGAGUGGCAACUUCACGGUCAAAUCUGCUUACCGCAUGCUUGUAGCGACAAGACAGCGCCGGGAGGCAUGGCUUGAGGGCACUGCUGGAACAUCAAACAGCACGUCGAAGGAGGGGGCUUAGAAAACGUUGUGGAAGACCCAGGUUCCUGCAAUUCUAUGGCGUUUAUCAAAGCACUCUCUCCCAACGGAGGACGUCAGGGCUCAUCGGCAUAUGGCAGAUAACGCUACUUGCGGUUUAUGUGGCUCGGCUGAUUCGUGGAGACACUCUCUGGUUAACUGCACUAGCUCGAGAUGGUGUGUGGGCUUUAGUUGAUGAGGAGCUAGCACAAAACCUAGUCUCAACCACGGAACCCAACGCCAAGCAGUGGCUCUUCACCUUCAUGCACUCACUAUCACACGAUCAAUUUGUAUUGCUUGCGGUCACUCUCUGGGCGAUCUGGACAGCGCGGCGCAAGGCUAUUCAUGAAGGAAUAGUCCAAUCGCCUCAGGCAACUAACAACUUUCUCAGACGCUUCAUAGCUGAACUAAACAUGAUUAAAGUGGAAAGGCCUAUGAGGGGAGGAGCUCAAUCUAUGGGCCUGUCACGAGCUGCACGCCCCAAAGCUCCCCCGAUCGGCUACGCCAAGAUUCAUGUGGACGCGGGAGUAAGAGCAAGGAAAGGUGGAUCAGCAGCCGCUGUAUGCCGGGACAGGCAAGGCAAUUUCCUAGGCAGCUCCGCGUUGGUGAUCGCCGGUCUAGAGGACCCAGCCAUACUAGAGACUAUCACUUGUAGAGAGGCAUUGGCGCUGGCGGAAGACCUUAAUCUGCAUAAUUUUGUCGUUGCAUCUGAUUCCAAGCAAACAGUGGCUGACAUCUUAAGUGGAGGCAGAGGCAAGAGUGGUACUAUUAUCCAGGAGAUAAACACUAGAGCAACUCUAUUUCAUUGUAAUUUUUCUUUUGAAGGCCGUGCUGUUAAUGUCGAAGCACAUAGACUAGACAAAUAUUCGCUUAAUAUCGGUCCGGGGCGCCACCUCUGGUUAGGUCAGCCCCAUGACCCGAGUUGUAUCCCACCCAUUGUGGUCUUUGAUGAAUAAAAUUUGGCUUUCCCCUCAAAAAAAAAACUUAUACGUGACAUUUGUGGGUAAUUUGUACGACGUGCCAUAAGAAGAAAUAGCCCCUUUAUUAUUAUUAGCAAAAGUGUCCGUGCGUUGUAACGGGAGAAAUAAAAUCAAAAUCUCCAAUGACCAUGACCAUAUUUUGUUGCAUCACCAAGACACCCCUAUCACUCUCAAUUUCGUGUAAUCAUGAAUAAUUUUUGAAAUCACGAACAUGUUUUAAAAUUAUUACACAUAUUUGAAAUCGUGAACAUUUUUCAAAUUCAUGAACACUUAUACAAAUUUCCGAACAUUUCUAAAAUCAAGAACAUUUUUGGAAUUGAUGAACAUUUUAUACUAUUUGCAAACACUUUUUAAAGAUUCCGAACAUCUUUAUAAACAAUUUUCUUUAAUCGAGGAACAUUUUUAUGGAAAUUGAUGGAACAAUUUUCGAAAUUCACAAACAUUUUUUGAUUUAACUAACAGUUUUUGAAAUACAUGAUCAUUUUUUGAAUCAGUGGACAUUUUCUGAAUGACUAAACUAUGUUGUAAGUCACGAAAUAGUUUUUGAAUUUUAGGAUAUUUCUCCAUUCAUGAACACUUUUUGAAUUGGCUAUUUUUUUCAAUUUCAUUAACAAUUUUUGAUAGAAAAACUUUUUAAAAAAUCAUGAAUUUUAUUUGAUUUCCCAAAAAAUUGUUUUUAAAAUUUUGAACAUUUAUUGUGUAAGCAAUUGUUUUUUACAAAACAGCGACCAUAUUUUAAAUCCACUAACAUUUUAUGAUUUAUGAAAAUUUUAUGUCAAAAUACUCAUUUUUUUAAUUUUCGAAACUUUUUUGAAAUCCCAAACUAUUUAUUGUAGAAAAGAACGAAAACAGGAAAGAAAAAUGAAAAUAGAAAACAAAAUCAAAGAAACAGGCCAGCCUGAAAUGGGCCGGCCCAAACAUACGUGUAGCUUCUUCUCCCAGCGUGCAGAGAGCAUUAUAGGAGGUCCCAACUGCAGGGCCGGCCCAGAUGGGGGAAUUCCCCUGUGUGAAUUUUUUGUAUCACUUAUAUGUGGCAUUGAACUCAUGAAGCAUGCGCUAUCCCUUCCAGCUCGCCGCCAUGUAUGGCUCGGACAACCAGAUGGACUUUCUUUCGUCCAUGUAAACGUUAUGACGAUAUAAUAAAAAGCUUCGGAAUUUGUCUAAAAAGACUUAUAAGUGGCAUUGGUGGGUAAUAUUUUGCAACUUUAGAGGUAAUUCCAUGACGUACCACCAGAAGCACAAUAGCCCCUUUACUAUUAUUAGGUACUCUUUUUUCCUUGUGGAGCUUUGGAAAUGAGAGAAUUUGAAUAUAGUAACUCUCGGAAACUCUUAUUGGAUGAGAGAGAUUUAAUAUGAUAUUGGCAUGGGUUCUACCAACUAACGAAGAAGUAUUUGACUGGAUAAACAGACAAUUUCCUUUAAUGGACGAACAUUUUUAUGAAAAUUGGUGGAAUAACUUGGGAAAUUCAUAAAUAUUUUUUUAGUUAACGAACAUUUUUUUAACUUAACGAACAUUUUUUGAAAUACAUGACCAUUUUUUUGAAUCUGUGAACGUUGUAUGAAUGAAUAAACUAGUUUGUAAGUCAUGAGCAGUUUUUCAAUUUUUAGGAUAUUUUUCCCUUCAUGAACAUUUUUUCAAUUGGUGAAAUUUUGUUCAAUUUCGUUAACAAUUUUUAGUGCACAAACCUUUUUAAAAAAUCAUGAACAUGAUUAUUUACCAAAGAAGCAAAUUGUUUUUUACAAAAUCGUGGACAUUUUUUUAACCCAGAAACAUUUUAUGAUUUAUGAAACAUUUUUUUCAAUACACAAUAUUUUUAAUUUUCGAAUUUUUGUGAAAUCCUAAAUUAUUUAAAGUAGAAAAAUCAAAAACAGAAAAGAGAAAGGAAUAAUAGAAAACAAAGUUAAAGAAUAGGCCGACCGAACAUGGGCCGGCCCAAACGGGCGCACUGUAUCUUCUGCCAGCGCCUAGAGCGCAGUAUAGGAGGUCCCUACUGCAUGGGCCNNNNNNNNNNNNNNNNNNNNNNNNNNNNNNNNNNNNNNNNNNNNNNNNNNNNNNNNNNNNNNNNNNAAGAAAAUAAUGCCUAUGCAUAUGCUUUUAUAUUAUUAUUAUUGUUUCAAAUUUAUUCAUAUAUUAUUUUCAAUUGUACAACCAUAAUUUUUCUUAUCUCUCUCGUUCCACUACAUGCUCCUAGUCAAAGAUUUUUUUAAUAAUGGGUGUUUUUAUUAACUCAAAAUAUAGCAUCAAGCGGAUACAAAACAUAAUGAGCCACACCCGGUCUAUGCAUAACUAAGAUGCACACAGCCAAAAGCAGAAGUCUGACAAAAAUAAGAUAAGAAAAUCGACAUAUCGACAACAGUGAGUCAUAUAGUACCGACACUAUGCCUCUGUCGAAGGAGGUGGUGGAGCGAUCUGGAGAUUAUGCUGCCAUCCAUGUUGAGUAAAUAUCUCCCUGGCCACUUGCUCCAACCGCAUAGACGCCGCCAUGAACAACGGUUGGUACUCCAUUCGGUGUAGCAUACACCAUACUAGAGGCUGGGGCGCCACCUGAGGCGGGCCUAUGCACACUUAUUUUGUCUGGGCAGUUCGGUUGUCAUGUUUGGUCAUCAGUAUCACUUAUGUACAUCAAUAUGGGCGUAUGUUGUAUUGUUUGAGUUCAUUAGGAUCUAUCAGUAUCACAUCAAUCAAACUACAUAUACUAUGUUAUUUGAGUUCAGAACCAUCAUAGGCAAUGAUACGUCUAACAAGGAUAUAUAACAUUUAAUUCAAAAGGAAAGACAAAGUAGAAUUAAGUGCUUCAGAUUGGCCGAAGAAAGGAACCUCAUGAUGCCAUGACUAAGGAACCAAAUAUAAAAGAGCACCUUUCAGAGUACUCCAGAGGUAUGACAUCAUCCAUUUCCACAUCAGAAUCAUCGGAAUUCUCCUGAUCCUCAUUUCGAUGUACCCAACACAAAUGCUACAUGGAUUUUAGUCAGCUGCAAUCCCCACUACUUCUACACUUCCCCUUUUUCACACCGAGGAGCAGAGACUGAUGCAAGUUGAUCGAACACAGAACAACAUAUAAUUGCCUAGAGAUGCGCUGGGCCUGAACAACAACAACAACAACAACCGUUGAGCCAGGUCUCCUUCCAGCAGCCUCAGCAACAAUAUCCAUCAGGCCAGGGCUCCUUCCAGCCAUCUCAGCAAAACCCACAGGCCCAGGGCUCUUUCCAGCCUCAACAACUGCCCCAGUUUGAGGAAAUAAGGAACCUAGCGCUACAGACGCUACUUGCAAUGUGCGAUGUCUAUAUCCCUCCAUAUUGCACCAUUGCUCCAUUUGGCAUCUUUGGUACUAACUGAGAAGAGAAGAACUCUAGUAGUAGAUAUAUGAUACACCGUUUUCUUAGUCCAUGGUUUGGUCGUUGUAGCGGUGAAAAAAUAAAGUGACAUGCACUAUCAUGUAAGAACCCGAACUAUACUAGUUCAAACUUGGGAAUAAAAGACAAACACAGGUCUUGUCUACAUAUGAUUGUUUGUUUGAGUUCCACUCAUGUGCCCAUUCACAAGUUCACCCCUAAUUAUAUAUAUUAUGCAUUAAGUAGAUAUUUAUGUUGCAUUAAUCUAAAGAUAACAAAAUGAGUCUGAAAUUUGAAUUAAAUUGAAGUAUUUCCUUGGACUUUCAAAUGGAGUAUUAUUAAAGUAGUAAGGACUAUCCUCAUCCUUGGCUUGCCCUUGAUCAAUUAUUUCCAGAGAAGCAUUCAAUUCGUCAAUCAAUUACAUUGAUUUUUGCAGCCGGUACUUCUCCUCAACAUGAGUAUAUUCAUCGCGGCUACUCCAAAUCGGCAUGAAUGAGGUACCGGUGCUCUGGAGCACUAGUACCUAACAGCUUCUCAUGUGAAGGGGUGCGGGCACGGGAGAGGUGUUUUUGGUGGGCCAGGGGAGUAAGAAGCGGCCGUGGCAGCGGUGCAGACACCCACAAAGCCCCGUAGUUUGUUUUUCGUUUACAGGAAAAUGCACAUCCAGACCGGCCUGCGGGCCGAUAUAGGACCGUAUUGGAUGGCAAAACAUGUCCGGAUGGUUGCGAGCGGUUUGAGGGUUAGCUUUUGUAACGCCCGGUUAGUUAUGCUAUUGUAAUUCCCUGCUAAUGAUGUCACGUAACCACGAUUACUAUUGUUAACCUCACAAUGAUUCAAUCCCAUUCAAAUUCAAAUUUAAAAUAAAGGCAAACAUCAAAAUUUCCAAACAUUAAAACUUAAAUCUUCGAGAGGUGGAAAAUAAUGCAUAAGUAAUUAUGGUGGAGAAACCACACUUUUAUAAAAUGUUUAAAUACUGUAAAAGAAUAAACAGUGGCUUAAACUAUUAUUUAAAUCCUUUUAAAAUAGUAAAAAUGUUCUAACUAAAUUAAUUGGGUACCAAACUUUUGGUGGCAGUGGUAUAUUUAGUAGAACUAAUUUAGAUGCUAAUUAUAUAAUUUACAAAAUUAAAGUAAAUUGAAAAAUAGGAUAAAACAUAAAAGGAAAGACAAAAUAAAUAAAAGCAAAAGGGGGCAACCCCUCGCUGGGCCUCGGCCUAACUGGCCACUGGGCUAGCUAGGCCGGCCCAGCCGCCUCCCUUAACCCCCCACUCCCCAUCGAACCCUGGCCCGAUCGCCCCACUUCCCCCACACCCCGUCGUCAGCCUCCCCACCUGUCGAUCCCAUCUGGAUCGGGGAGGGGAUCGCCCCCAUCAACCCCGUCGCCGUCUCCGGAUCGCCCGCUCGCCCAUCGCCCGCCGGAGUCGCCGGGCCUCCUCCCUGCCGCCCGUCUCCGGCUCGCCUCCUCUCUCGCUCCUCUUCCCUGACCCAAUCUGGAUCGGGAAGGGGCAAUGCGCCCGACGCCCCCCUUCACCGACGCCGUGCGCCAACACCGCCGCCCGAAGACCUCGCCGUCACCGGACCUCGCGUCGCCUCCUCGUAUCCCUCCCCGCCUCGCCUCAAGCCAUGACGACCCCCUUCUCGGCAACGCUGUGAGCCGCCCCCGUUUCCCUCCUCCUCUUUCCACCGCGUUCACAGCGUCGCCCGCCGUGCCCCUCGCCGCGCGCUCGCCCACCACCGCGCCAGCCCCGGUCCGCGCCCUCUCCUGCAUGCUUGCGUGCGCAUGACCCUAGCCGCGCCUGCGCCGUGAUCCCCUUAUCCNNNNNNNNNNNNNNNNNNNNNNNNNNNNNNNNNNNNNNNNNNNNNNNNNNNNNNNNNNNNNNNNNNNNNNNNNNNNNNNNNNNNNNNNNNNNNNNNNNNNNNNNNNNNNNNNNNNNNNNNNNNNNNNNNNNNNNNNNNNNNNNNNNNNNNNNNNNNNNNNNNNNNNNNNNNNNNNNNNNNNNNNNNNNNNNNNNNNNNNNNNNNNNNNNNNNNNNNNNNNNNNNNNNNNNNNNNNNNNNNNNNNNNNNNNNNNNNNNNNNNNNNNNNNNNNNNNNNNNNNNNNNNNNNNNNNNNNNNNNNNNNNNNNNNNNNNNNNNNNNNNNNNNNNNNNNNNNNNNNNNNNNNNNNNNNNNNNNNNNNNNNNNNNNNNNNNNNNNNNNNNNNNNNNNNNNNNNNNNNNNNNNNNNNNNNNNNNNNNNNNNNNNNNNNNNNNNNNNNNNNNNNNNNNNNNNNACCAAGACCCACAUCCCCUAAUUAACCAUUUAAUAAAUUUAAACUCUUAAAUUAACAUUAGUGUAUGACAUGUGGGUCCCCUAUUAAUUAAACUAAUUUAAUUAAAAUCUAUUAACUUCAAGUCUAUGACAUAUGGGCCCCACUGAACAUUUGACCAGUCAACGGUCCAGUCAAAUGUUGACCGGAUAGUUGACCAGAGGGCCCCACCAGUCAGCCUCUGUGCUGUUCUCCUGGGUACCUUUCUGAGUACACCUAGCAUUUUGCAUUUACAAUAUUUGUUUUAAAAUAAAUUAGAAUAAUUUCAAAAAAAUGAUUGAAACUUUUAAAAUUAAAAAAAAUUAUCCGUAACUCGGAUGAAAUUACUUUAUACAUGGAAGUUGCUCAAAAAAUGAGACGAAUCCUAAUACACAGUCCGUUCUUCUGCCACACGUCCCUAGCAUAGCGAACAUGCAACCACCCCCCUCCGGUUCGACUGUCCGAAAAUGUCAAACACCGGGAAUACUUUUCCGGAUGUUUCCCCUUCACUAGUAGCACCUAGUACCGCGUGAGGCAUACCUAGCACCACUUAUUGUAAUGUCAUGCAUCGUCAUGCAUCUGUUUGCAUUGUAUUCAUUGUUUCUUGCUCCUCUUCUCUCCGGUAGACUACGAGACUGACGCCGGUGCUGCCCCGGUCGAUUACGGUGUCCAUGACCCCUCCUUGUCAGCAGAGCUUCCAGGCAAGCAAACCCCCUUGAUCAUCCCGAUAUCGCCUACUCUUUCCUCUACUGCUUGCAUUAGAGUAUUGUUACUGUUUGUCGGUUUGAUCCUAUACUGCUGCAUGGCCUGUCUUUGAUACUACUUAUGUGUUAUUUGUUAGUACGCUUGGAGAAAAUGCCUUUGAUUAGGGCAUCUUCAACAGCGACCAGUAAAUUUCCUCCCGCGUUCGUCCACGAAUAGGGGAUCAGUCCGCGGACACGGAUACAGGAAUUGGCCAUCCAACAAUGUCCGCAUAUAUUUAAAACACUUAAAAAAUAGGAUGAAAUUCAUGCAAACACAGUGGAUUUCAUACAAACCGGACAAAAAUGUUUACAUUUUGGACAUUUUUUUUUUACUAAAAACUCUACAGCCGGUGCCGGCGAAUAUCCACUCCGGCAACAUGGAUACCCUUGACUAGUCUACUGCCGGCCGCAGCAGAUCUCCAAUGUCGUCCCCAUGUUCGGCAGCUGUGAGCCCUAGAGGUAUAUGCUUCAGCGCAAAGAGCGGCUCGCCUCCUACCGCUCAUCGGAGUGGAACAACCAGUUGAUGCUUCUGCCGAUGGGGAAGGGUCCCUACGCUACACGAAUUAGAGUUGGUUUUGGGUUGGGGGAACGGCGGUGGCCUGUCAGAGGGCAAGACACCGACUGUGUACGCUGGUGUCACCUGGUGUGGCAUUCAUGGGACCCAAGCGGCAGCGCCUCCUCAAUGAUGGCAGCGAGCGCGGACGUGUUGGACACCACCUCGUCGAUGUCCGUGCAGCCCGCUUCUUUCUCUGUAGGAAGGACGCGGUUACGCUCGCGUUGACAUCGGAUGACUCGGUCACAUGCACGAGAGGGGCGGUACAACAUGGCACCGUCAAUGGCAGCCAUGAUGCCCGCGCCACCGUGGUCCCUCCCAGUGCCGACCUGGAGCAACUUGCCACUCCUCGGCUCGUGACCGGCGGGCUUUACGGGCCACCUAGCCAUUUUUUAUGCCAGCCAACUCUUCUUCCUGCUCGUCAGAUGUCAUGGAGAAAACUGUUCAAGGAGGAAAAUGAUGAGUGGACGUGUGAUGCGCUUCUUGCCCAACAUCUGACAUUGUUUAAAUAGCGAGGGGACACGAGAGGAGCCAACCGGCGUUCUGUUCAAUGCCAACUGGCUCGCGAACGAACAUGUGGCCGGAGUAAUUAUCCUGGCACACACGCGGGUUUAAUGGUGGAAGGCGGGCAGUCUGCAGGAAUGAGGUGAGGAUGCGUGUUUAGCCGGCGUGCAGCGGGCAGCGCCCUCGGCCGGCGUGCUGCUUCCAUUGCGGAGGUAGUGAGAGGUCGCGUCCGCUCUGCAGCGCAUGAAUGCGGGCAGCUGGCGCAGAGCGGGAACGCGUGCAUGGUUUGGGUGGGCACGGGUGGUGAGAAGAGGUCAUGGGUGUUGUCCGAACGCCUGGAAAGCCCCCCCUCCAUGUUUGUCUCCGGUUUACGGGAGAAAGUACGUCCGGACCGUUUGAUGGACCAAUACAGGCCCGCAUUGGAUGGCACAACACGUCCGGACCAUGUGGUCCGGAUGGUUGUGGACGGUUUAAUUGAGGGUCGACGUUGGAGAUGCCUUAGAGUUUAUGAAUCCAUUGUGUUUUUUAAUCAUAAAAAGCACUUAUAACAAGUUAUAAGGAAAGACACGUUUAUAUGUUAGGUUCGGACUCCAGCUUUCCUCUUACAUAUGCUUUAUUGUGAUCCGACUGAUUCCAAUAGAGUGAGCCUAGCGUUGUUUUUCUGGAAACUUGCGGGAUAAGGAGACAUGCAUACACAUUCAUUCAAGCAAAUCACAUCCAUUCUUUUUAACUCAUUUUUCUUCUUUUAAUAAUAUAAUAGAUCAUUUAUAUUUUUAUCUCAAACAGUUGACGUGUAAUUUAUACUGUAAUCUGAGGAUAAUGUUUGGAUUUACUUUCAAAUAUAUUUGAAAUGGCCAUGAUGGAAUCACAUCCAUUUAUUUUAUUAUUAUUUGAAUUUGAUCCAAAAGAUAAAUAAUGAGUAGAGGUCAUGUCAACUUUUCUGAGAACUUUGCUAAUCAAAAUAUAAUUUGUAUUUAAAAACAUCUUUUUAGCACGCAUGAAAAACAUAACGCCUAUCUUUUCACACAUGAUGAACGGUUGUCAUAAGAACUCAUGGCAUGCCACAAGCUCCCUCCGACCCUGCCAACAUUGUUACAGCUGCACUCGCAAGCUUUAUCGUAGAUGAUCAUUUAUACGAUUUGCGUAAAUCAAAAUAAGAUCUACAAACGAAUAGAAGCUAGAACGUACCUUGGCAUGCACACACAUUGCAAGCCAUACUAAGCUGAUAAGUGUUAAUAACUUCUACAACAUAUACAACACUUAAGACAAGUAAAAGCAAUUUGAUGAGUCAUGGUCUAUCAAAGGCACAUUACUAGUCUAAUCCAUCUUAACAGGUCACACAUGAUUAAAACCUUGUUUGUGUGCAAGUCAAGCUUAUCUAGUUUACAUGUAACAACUUGUAGAACAUUACAAAAUUUAUGUUUGCUAAUAACCUCUAGAACACUACAACACUUGACAUGUAAAAGGAAUUUGAUGAGUCAUGGCCUACUAAAGCAAGUUAUAUUACUAGUCUUAUCUACCUUAACAGGCCACACAAGAUUACAAACUAAGUUCUGUGCUAGCCAUGCUUAUCUAGUUUAUGCGUAACAAUUUGCAGAAAAUUACAAACUUAGUUUCAGAAAAAUAGGCAAUCUAGAUUAGUGUUUGAGCUGUAAAGUGAAUAAGAUGAGUCAUGUGUGUUAUCACACCUUUUUGGUUGUGGAAUAAUAGUGCAACAACAAGGAACUUUAAUGACCAGUCCAAGAAUACACUUGUAAGUAGUGCCACCGAACACAACAUGCCAAAUUUUGAUUUUGAGAAGCAUCCAAACACUUCCACACAAGCAAAUGCCAAUUGUGAAAGAGAUCAUGCCAUGGCAGCUAUAAAUAGGCCCGUAGCAUGACGAUCAUCCUUCCUCAUCCAUCAUUCUCAUAAGUAGAGCGCAUCAUUUAAGCCAAGCAAGCAGUGCUCAAUACAAAUCCACCAUGAAGACCUUUCUCAUCCUUGCCCUCCUUGCUAUUGUGGCGACCACCGCCACAACUGCAGUUAGAGUUCCAGUGCCACAAUUGCAGCUACAAAAUCCAUCUCAGCAACAGCCACAAGAGCAAGUUCCAUUGGUACAAGAACAACAAUUUCCAGGGCAGCAACAACCAUUUCCACCACAACAGCCAUAUCCGCAGCCGCAACCAUUUCCAUCACAACAACCAUAUCUGCAGCUGCAACCAUUUCCACAGCCGCAACUACCAUAUCCGCAGCCGCAACCAUUUCGACCACAACAACCAUAUCCACAGCCGCAACCACAGUAUUCGCAACCACAACAACCAAUUUCGCAGCAGCAGCAGCAGCAGCAGCAACAACAACAACAACAACAACAAAUCCUACAACAAAUUUUGCAACAACAACUGAUUCCAUGCAGGGAUGUUGUAUUGCAACAACACAACAUAGCGCAUGGAAGCUCACAAGUUUUGCAAGAAAGUACUUACCAGCUGGUGCAACAAUUGUGUUGUCAGCAGCUGUGGCAGAUCCCCGAGCAGUCGCGGUGCCAAGCCAUCCACAAUGUUGUUCAUGCUAUUAUUCUGCAUCAACAACACCACCACCACCAACAACAACAACAACAACAACAACAACAACCGUUGAGCCAAGUCUCCUUCCAACAGCCUCAGCAACAAUAUCCAUCAGGCCAGGGCUUCUUCCAACCAUCUCAGCAAAACCCACAGGCCCAGGGCUCUUUCCAGCCUCAACAACUGCCCCAGUUUGAGGCAAUAAGGAACCUAGCGCUACAGACGCUACCUGCAAUGUGCAAUGUGUAUAUCCCUCCAUAUUGCACCAUUGCUCCAUUUGGCAUCUUCGGUACUAACUGAGAAGAGAAGAACUCUAGUAGUAGAUAUAUGAUACACCGUUUUCUUAGUCCAUGGUUUGGUCGUUGUAGCGGUGAAAAAAUAAAGUGACAUGCACUAUCAUGUAAGAACCUGAACUAUACUAGUUCAAACUUGGGAAUAAAAGACAAACACAGGUCUUGUCUACAUAUGAUUGUUUGUUUGAGUUCCACUCAUGUGCCCAUUCACAAGUUCACCCCUAAUUAUAUAUAUUAUGCAUUAAGUAGAUAUUUAUGUUGCAUUAAUCUAAAGAUAACAAAAUGAGUCUGAAAUUUGAAUUAAAUUGAAGUAUUUCCUUGGACUUUCAAAUGGAGUAUUAUUAAAGUAGUAAGGACUAUCCACAUCCUUGGCUUGCCCUUGAUCAAUUAUUUGCUGAGAAGCAUUCAAUUCGUCAAUCAAUUACAUUGAUUUUUGUGGCUGGUACUUCUCCUCAACAUGAGUAUAUUCAUCGUGGCUACUCCAAAUCGGCAUGAAUGAGGUACCGGUGCUCUGGAGCACUAGUAC